UGAGCUUUAAGCAUUAACUUGUCGAUCCAACAAAAAUUAGGGCUAGAACAGUUUAUGCUGUUGCGGCACAUAUAGUCAACAAAGGAAGUUGCAAGGUGCAACCAUCUAAUCUAGAAAUGCAUCAUCAUCAUCGAUAAACGAAGCUAUUAUCAACUUGGAGAUUUAAGCCAAUGGAAUGCAAUGAAUAUGACUGAGAGCAAUUCAACAAUGAGAUUUACAUGGAUGAGAUGUGUAUCUUCUCUAUACAGAAUUCUCACCUUUGCAGAUUGACACCAGAGUUGUUGCAGUAGCACACAAUCUGCCAGGCUGUCAGGGUUGCGGUUUCGCUUUCUUCGCGUCUCUGUCAGCUCACAAGCUCCAAAUCAUGAGUUGUUUGUUAGGUUCACAACAUGAGGGAUGCCCUUGCCAAGCUUCAUGGACGGCCAACAGCAAUGCUAUACACCAGUCCGUUCUCUGAUGUUUUGUCAUGCCAUAUUCACACAUGCACAUUACCAAUGGUUUUCUUCUCGAACUCCCGCACCGCGUUCGUGAGGCGCUUCAUGCUGUCGUCGUAGUACCAGGGCGUCUUCUCGGACCACGUCAAGCCACCUUUCGGCGGCACCGGCACAAACUCACGGCAUAACUCGCCGGGAACAUUGAUGGUGUUGUGGUAGUGGUAGUACCGGAUGAGGUGCUCCGUCUUGUGAGUGGUAUUGCCGAUAACGUUCUCGGACAUGUGCACGCCCGUGGCGUAUGCGUUCUUGGCCUGGAUCGCGUACUUCCUGUCACGCCUCACCCCGGUGAUCGAAUUCCGGAACACCAGCUUCUCAAACCCCCAUUGUCUGCAAAAAUUGUGAGUAAGAGGAGUCAGUCUUUCAGAUAUACCAUGCAUUGACAAAUGUAAAAGAAGUAAUACAACUAGGACUGCAAGGAGAACAUGGUAGGAUUCAGCCAUUGCAUCACCAGAAGUACACUUGAAUUACCAGUACAACUGAACUGUUCUUAGAGCAACCGAAAAUGAAAACAAGACAAAAAUGAAAUGUCCGGCUCCAAAGAUCGUAGAUUAGGGUGGGGGAUUGCACGAAUACGGAACCUUUAGAAGCAACUUUAUAACCAAAUGGGCACUUAUAGUCGAUAGAAAAUGACACAUGAAGGUUCCUAAUUGGGUAAUUCCAGUUCAAAAGGUCACAUCAACAUGCCAAAUUCAAACGAUGCAGCAAUGGUUUGCGUAAAAGGAGUAACAUGUCCACUAAACUAAACAAAUUUUGUGCAGGAAACGGUCACCUACUUGGAGUAGUCGGCCUCGGAAUCGUUGGUGCCCCGCGCGCACAACCUGCUCGACAUGGGGUUCUGCUCGAUGGUGAACUGCGUGUACGGGUCGAGCUCGGCGAGCACGCCCUCGAGCGUCCGGCCGUCGGGCAGGAAGAUGUACUCGUCGACGUCGAAGAAGAAGGUCCACCUGGCGGCGUGCCGGUACCGGUGGAGGCAGUCGUUGACGACGAGGAACUGGUUGUGGUACCAGCCGUCGUAGUCGGCCUGGGCGCGCACGUCCUGCAGCGUGGCGCGGCCGGCGCGCACCCAGGGCUCCAACGCCGCGCGCACCGCGGGGCUGACGCCGCCGGCGUCGUGGAACACGAAGUGCGAGCGCGCGCCGAAGAAGCGCGCGUGGUAGGCCAUCCACUCCCGCACGCGCGCCGCGCUGAGGUCGCCGUACAGCGACGAGCCGCAGUAGAGGUAGUCGUACCUGUGCGGGGGGCGGAACGCCGCCUCGUCGUAGGCCCCCGGCGCCUCCUCCAGCGCCUCGAUCCGCUCGUACCGCGCCGGCGACGGCCCGUAGUAGGCGUUGAGCACCAGCCUGCCCCCGGCAUUGUCGGCGUUGGGCGCCGCCGAGAAGGUGCAGUUCACCACCACGACGGUGUACACCCGGCCGUAGCCCCAGUCCGGGAGCAUGUGGUACGUGUUGGCCGCGCGCAUCGGCCGCGCCGACGAGGCGGAGGCGUUGGCGGCGCCGGCGUUGGGCACCCACUCGCAGCGGAACCAGGGCUUGCCGUAGACGUGGACGGGCUUGGACGCGAGCCCGACGACCGCGAAGGUGUACGGCCCGCCGCGGUACGCGCCCAUCUGCACGAACAGCGCCGCCGCGCUGCCCACCGCGCGGAACUCCCGCCUGUUCGGGUCGGGCUUGGGCCGCUCCUGACCCUGCUUCGGCGACGAGGAGGCGUUGGAGCUGGGGCUGGACGCCUUGCCGGAGACGGCGAGCGAGCGCGGCAGCGAGGGGGGCGGGUCCGGGCAGAGGGAGAACGGGACGGCGAGCAGGGAGUGGUAGGGGCGGAGCUGCCAGGCGGCGGCGAGGAGCGUGAGCAUGGUGAGCGCGGCGAGGAAGGGCUUGAGGUCGGAGCAGAGCAAAGCGGGGGACGGAACAGCCGCAAUGCCGCCGCCGGCGGCGGCGGCCGGCUCGCUCCGCAUUCUUGCCCCUGCCUGCCGCGGAUGGGGAGCAAUGAGUGAGAGGGAGUGUGGGAGCAGUGCUGAGGAUUACGCGAGGCGAGACCCCGUUGGCGGAUUAAUUAGCUUCCUUUUUACAGUACAGCAGAGAGUACGCGCGGUAAAGUUUUUGGCAGGAAUUGAUGGCGUCACCGUAUCCCCCUGUUGCGUUGUCCAGGACACGGCCCGGGUCUCGGCGUCGGCGCACGCUGUUUUUCCUCGGGUCCGGGAUCUCAUCUCGUCUCUCUACUCAUUUUUGGAAUGUUUCUGGGUGGCCUCGUUUACUGACUACAGUAGUAAGAAACAAGCUACUCAGCCAGCGUCGAGCCCGGUGUGUUUGAGGCUCAGGGCUGGGCUGGUUCAUCAAUAUUAACCUCGAGUCAGUCACUGUCGCUCUGUGUCUCUGUGCGUAAGUAAAUCCUACAGUAGCAUAGUUACCACUUUCUUCACCCGUUGACCACUGAUGCAGCCCUUCAAAUUAACAUCUGAAGCUCCCGCCUUAAUGCUAAGCCACCCGGAGCCACAUUUUGUUGGGUACUCGUACUAGCACCUUCUCGUGCUUGCCCAACCUGCCACCUUUCGGUGGCACAGAGCCCCAAUUAACGAAUCUCUCUCCCUCUAAACAAAAAGUGCCAAUUCACUGCGGAUAUCAAUCACUGUGCCGCAUGGCCCGCACCGUACCCCGACCCUAUCCAUCCAACGGUCGUAUCCCUCCGCUCACAGCCUGACACCACACUCGUGCGCGGCAUGGGCGCUCGACCGGCGCGAACCAACAGGUGUCACCUUGUCAGCGGGGCCGGGCCACGCGUGGCUCUGACUACCCGGAUCCGGCACGGACGUGGAUGGCUGCGCUGCAGCGCACGCACGCGCCCGCUUCCGUUCAAGCGCACGACACCGUCUUUGCCUGCCGCGCGUGCCGUGCCGAGCGCGAGCGGCGCUGCCGUGCCGACGGUCACCACGUCCCAGGUCCGCGCCACGCGCGCCCCGUUCUCACGUGCCGCCCAGCAGAUCGGAUCACCCGGUGCGAUGACGAGCGAGGCAGUUGCGCAAUGGGUAGAAAGGUGAGCGAAUCAGCGGCGGAGGCUUCCGUUCCAAGCGUAAUCAGACUCCGUUCUCAGCGGCGGACGUCGGCUUGUUCGAACGGGCUCUAGACCUGUCUGCACAGGUGACGCGAUGCGUGCAUGCCUUUCUAUCGCCUCGUCGAGCGCAUGCAUGGCAUGCACGCGUCCACCGGAUAGCCGGAUGCGGAAUGAUACCGCCGCUUUCACGCUUUGGCUUUUGCUAUAGCUCUGGUCGUUUUCAGCGGUGCAGCCGUUAGUUAGGGAAUGAAAGCGUCUCGUUAAACGGAUAUGGCACGCAGCUCGCAUAACUGCAAAAUUCUGCGCCUCUCGCUAGUCCGGCGUCUGUGUGUGUUUGGGGGCAUGGUUGUGACUUUGAUGAUGAUUCAGUGAAAGCUGGACGCUCUGCAACAUUUGCAGAAUUUCUGUAACGGUGAAACAGAUUGAUUUUUUCUCAUGAUGGGGUGCGCUUAUAUAUUAGGUAAAAGUGGCUAUUUUUAGUCGACAUGUUUAUAGGCGAUCAUGUAAUAACCUUCAAAUCCUCUUUUUCUUUUUUGCGAGGGAAGUUCGAUAUACCUGUAUCAAAUCUCAAUGAUUGGAUAUGAGUGCUAUUUCUGAAAUGGCCAAACCGUUUGGAAAUGCCUUGGUCCGUAAGGUUGUGUGCGGCGCAGGUUCGAUUCAGAGAAAAUCAGACGCAAUGAGCCAAUUAUACGCUGGAAACAAUGGAACCUAGCGCAGGAGUACACGCGAGCUGGAUGUGAUCGCCCAACAGCUGUGUCUUGACUCUUUAGUCUUGACUGGUCCGUGCGUGCAAGAAAAUGCCAACCGGGAUACGCGUCUACGGUUCACGAUGAUCUCCUCGUCUGGAAUUGCAAUAGUAGCGCUACUAGAGUGCGUGCUUGUGCCCACAAAAUGGUGCAUUUUCUCGGCGCGUCGGUCAUACAGUAUUUCUUAGGCAAGCACGCGCAGGGUCUAAAGCUGAUUCUCUGCAGUAUUAAGCUCUUCAGUAAACAAACAGCGCUUGUAGCUUAAUCAGCUCGAAGUUCGGCUCAUUGAACGCCAGUGAUCAACAAGACAACAAAUGGUGCAAUCACAUUUGAGUCCACAGAACCAACCAACCAAGAGCAGGAACCGAGGAUCGGAGUUCAGCUCGACGCUAGUGCAACUUGUUAGACUUAGAGAUAUUGAAGUUAUGUAAUCUCAACUACCAUCUCUAUCUCUUUUUCUCUCCCAUGUAACCUCCUAUCUCUAUCCCGCUGAAUCCUAGCGAUCGGUGGUCUUCUUGUACGCCACGGCAGAGGUUGUUUCUGCCCACAAUCAAUAUAUACCCGCGGCUUCUCUACGGAGGAGUAGGGACGCUUCCAUCGAUCCAAUCUAACAUGAUAUCAGAGCUAGGUCUCUUCCUAUCGUCUAGCAAAACCAAAAUCCUAAACACCCUUCCAUAGCCAUGGCCACGAGCUCAAGCGCCGUCGGUCUCAACCUAGGAGCUCCACCAACAGAGAAGCUCUCAAGGGGGGACUACCUCCUGUGGAAGGCGUAGGUCAUGCCGGCACUGCGAGGCGCGCAAGUGACCGGCCUCCUCGACGGCAGCGACGCCGCACCGCCCAAGAUAAUAGAAGUCACCAAGGCAGAUAAAACCACGACCAUUGAGCCCAACCCUCUGUACGGCCCGUGGUUGUCGAAGGAUCAACAGGUUCUGAGCUACCUGUUGAACUCUCUCACCCAGGAAAUCCUUGCACAAGUCAUCGGUAAGGACAGCACCUUCGAUUUGUGGACUGCUCUUACCACAAUAUUCACUGCGCAGUCGCAAUCCCGCAUAACCAAUCUACGGAUGGCCAUCUCCAACACCAAGAAGGGCAACAUGUCGAGCAACGCCUUCAUUUCCAAGAUGAAGAACCUCGGGGACGAGCUAGCUGUAGCUGGGCGUCCGAUUACCGAUCUAGAGAUGGUGGACUACAUAUUGGUUGGCCUUGAUCGGGACUAUGAUCCCGUUGUGGCAGCAAUCGGCACAAUCAAGAACUCCAUCAGCGUCGACGAUCUGUUCGCGUAGAUUUCUGCGUUUGACCAACGCAUGGAGAUGCUGGGGGACGGACCAGCAGGCUUCCGCUCCUCUGCCAAUGCCGUCUACAGGGGCGCGGGCAGUCCUGUGGCAGGGGAGGUCGCGGCCGAAGCACCAGAGGAGGGCGCGGUCGAGGGAACCGCUCUGCUUCAUCUCUUGGUCGCGGUGGUGGUGGCGGCUACCAGCAGCAACGACUUCGUCCCCAACCACAACAACAGCAGUAGCAAGAAGGUGACCAUCCAGAGUGCCAGAUCUGCUACAAGUUUCAUGCCGGUGGCGCAAGAGCGUGCUGGCAUCGCUAUGAUGAUGAUCAUGAGGAGAAGAAGGCAGCCAACCUCGUCACCAACAACUACGGCAUUAACACCAACUGGUAUGCCGACUCCGGUGCUACUGAGCAUAUUACCGGGGAACUUGACAAGCUGACGAUGCGGGAAAGGUACCAUGGUGGUGAUCAGAUACACACGGCAAGUGGAACUGGUAUGGACAUCACUCAUGUUGGAAAAUCAAUUGUUAAAACCCCCGUAAAAUAUUUACAUCUUAAUAAUGUCCUACAUGUUCCACAUGCUUCAAAAAAUCUCGUUUCAGUUCAUCACUUUGCCCUUGACAACAACGCUCUUAUAAUAUUUUAUCCCUACUGUUUUGUGAUCAAGGACUUGGCAACGAGGAGGGUCAUACUUAGAGGAAAGUGUGAGGGAGGCCUAUAUCCACUCAUAUCAUCUUCAUCUUCAUCAUGGUUGAAUAAACAAGCGUGGAGUGUCACCAAACCUUCUUUGGCAAAGUGGCAUAGUCGUCUUGGUCAUCCCUUUUCAGUCAUAGUUAAGCAUGUCCUUAGCAAGAAUAAUCUUCCCUAUGAGUCUAGUGUUGAGUCAAUUUGUGAUGCUUGCCAGCAAGCUAAGAGUCAUCAGCUACCCUAUCCCAUAUCUACAAGUGUAUCAACUGCUCCAUUGCAGUUAAUUUUUUCAGAUGUAUGGGGACCAGCUCCCACAUCAGUUGGCAGAUUUUCCUAUUAUGUUAGUUUCAUUGAUGAUUAUAGCAAGUUCACUUGGAUAUAUUUGCUAAAGAAACGAUCUGAUAUUUUCCAAGUAUUUCUCAAUUUCCAAAACCUUGUUGAACGCCAACUAGACUAAAAAAAUUCUUGCUAUGCAAACCGACUGGGUGGUGAGUAUGAAAAAUUAAAUUCUUUCUUUCAAAAGAUUGGAAUUUCUCACCAUGUUUCUUGUCCCCAUGCUCAUCAACAGAAUGGGUCGGUUGAACGCAAACACCGCCAUGUUGUUGAGGUAGGACUAGCACUGCUAGCUAAUGCUUCCAUGCCCCUAAAAUUCUGGGAUGAAGCCUUUCUCACUGCCACAUAUCUCAUAAAUAUUCGACCAAGCAAAGUCAUCAAAUUUGAAAGUCCCAUCACACGUCUUUUUGGUGUUAAACCCGACUUCAAAUCUCUUCGAGUAUUUGGUUGUGCAUGUUGGCCCAACCUAAGACCAUACAACACACGCAAACUUGCGUUUCGUUCCAAAAAAUGUGUGUUUUUGGGAUAUAGCCCUAUGCAUAAAGGAGUAAAAUGUCUAGAUGUUCCCACAGGUCGAGUUUAUAUAUCUCGCGAUGUUGUGUUUGAUGAAUCAAUUUUUCUGUUUGAAUCUCUUCAUCCUAAUGCCGGCGCCCUCCUUCGUCAAGAGAUUCUUCUUCUUCCAUCUACACUUUGAGAUCUUGAUCACGGGGAAACAAUUGCACUAACCAACAUGAUGGUAGUAUUCCUACUGGAACCAGUCCUUGUCUUCCGUGUGUGCAGGUCCCUGAAGAAAAUGGCGUUCAAAACGAUCAAAAUGAUCAAAAUCUCAUUCAAAACGAUGCUAUAUUUCAUGUGCAAGAAGAGGACGAAGCCGACGCGGUGAAUGAGGACGAUCUGGUGGCGCCUGCCACCCCUGCGUGCCAAUCCUCCUCGGAUCGGGCGCGGAUAUCCACUCCAGAUCGUGAGCCGGUCAGUCUGCAUGGCCAGACGCGGGCGACGCAAUCUGCGGCUGCCACUCCACGCGGGGAAUCCCCCUCGGACGGCUCGCGCAUGCGGCCAACCACGAGGUGCAACUUGCUUGCGCGUCUGACAGGCCCAUCUGGCGCGGGAUCUUCUGUGGCAGCAGGUGGUGCGGCGCUGACUGAGGAAACCACACCCGUCGCCACUGGAUCCGGUGUGGCAUCUCCUGAUUCCUCUCCAGGAUCUUCUGCAACCAGCAAUGCCGUGCGCCAGCGUGUACAGCAGCCUCCACUAAUCACAUCAAGAGUUACAACUCGGCUACAAAAAGGUAUUAAGAAUCCAAAAAUCAGAACUGAUGGCACUAUUCUGUAUGGCAUGUUGUGUGUUUCAGGCGAGCCAACAAAAUUGGAUGAUGCACUUGGAGAUCAUAAGUGGAAAAAGGCUAUGGAUGAGGAAUAUACAGCCUUGAUGAGAAACAAAACAUGGCAUCUGGUGCCAAACAGGAAAGGUAAAAAUAUUAUUGAUUGUAAAUGUGUGUAUAGGAUCAAGAAAAAGGCAGAUGGCUCCAUUGACAGGUAUAAAGCAUGUCUCGUUGCUAAAGGUUUUAAGCAGCAUUAUGGUACUGAUUAUGAGGAUACAUUUAGCCCUGGGUAAAAGCUGCAACCAUCAGACUUGUGCUGGCUAUUGCUGUGUCUUGGGGAUGGAGCCUAAGGCAGCUAAACAUACAGAACGUGUUUUUGCAUGGUGUUCUAGAAAAGGAGGUCUAUAUGAGGCAACCACCAGGUUAUGAAAACAAACAAAAACCUCAUUAUGUAUGCAAGCUUGACAAAGCUCUUUAUGGUUUGAAACAAGCACCUAGGGCAUGGUACUUCAGGUUAAGUAUGUAGUUAAAACGUCUUGGCUUUAUUGCAUCAAAGGCUGACACGUCUCUCUUCAUAUAUAAUAAGGCAAACACUGUUAUCUUUAUGCUCAUAUAUGUUGACGACAUUAUAGUUGCAAGCUCUUCUCAGAAUGCUACUGAUGCUCUUCUGCAUGAUCUAAGCUCAGAAUUUGCUUUAAAGGAUCUUGGUGAUUUGAGUUUCUUUUUGGGCAUUGAAGUUAAAAAGGUUCAGGAUGGUAUAGUGUUGAAACAAGAAAAAUAUGCCACUGAACUCUUGGCUCGGAUGGGAAUGAAGGAUUGUAAGGUAUCACCUACACCAUUAUCUUCAUCAUAACAAUUGUCAGCAUAUGAAGGGGAGCCACUUAAGGAGGAAGAAAGCACCAAAUACAGAAGUGUUGUUGGUGCCUUGCAAUACUUAACCUUAACACGGCCAGAUAUUUCUUUUGAUGUUAACAAAGUAUGACAAUACUUACAUUCUCCCACUUCUGCUCAUUGCACAGCUGUCAAGAGGAUCAUACGGUAUGUGAAGCACACUGUAGGUUUGGGACUUCAUUUCAGACGGUCCAACUCUACACUUGUUAGUGCUUCUCUGAUGCAGACUGGACAGGUUGCAGCGAUGAUAGAAAAUCAACAGGUGGUUUUGCUGUUUUCUUUGGUUCUAAUCUUAUUUCAUGGAGUGCCAGGAAACAAGCAACAGUGUCAAGGUCAAGUACUGAAGCUGAGUACAAAUCUUUGGCAAAUGGUACUGCUGAAAUUAUUUGGCUUGAAUCUCUGCUUGAAGAAUUGGGUGUAAAGCAACACCGUAUUUCAUGCCUAUGGUGUGAUAAUUUGGGUGCUACUUAUUUAACUGCUAACCCUGUCUUUCAUGCCAGAACCAAGCAUAUUGAGAUAGACUUUCACUUUGUACGUGAAAGGGUUGCAGAGAAGAAGCUGGAGAUCCGCUUUAUUCCUUCAAGAGAUCAAGUGGUUGACGGGUUCACUAAAGCUCUACCGUACAAACCAUUUGAAGCAUUCAAGAACAAUCUCAAUUUAGGAUAGGUAGUUCAGAUUAAGGGAGGGUGUUAGACUUAGAGAUAUUUAAGUUAUGUAAUCUCAACUACCAUCUCUAUCUCUUCUUCUCUCCCGUGUAACCUCCUAUCUCUAUCCCGCUGAAUCCUAGCGAUUGGUGGUCUUCUUGUACGCCACAGCAGGGGUUGUUUCUGCCCACAAUGAAUAUAUACCCGCGGCUCCUCUACGAAGGAGUAGGAACGCUUCUAUCGAUCCAAUCUAACACAACUUGCUGCUCCCGUCUCCAAAAAGCUAGACUAGGUAGGUGGACAACACCAGGAUGCCAAACACCCUAUAAAGUUGCUUAUCUGCUCCCUACCCUUCAGCGAUGUUGAGAUUCGCCAUUGAAAGGGCAAGAGCUUAAAAUAGACUUGAGUAAACCUACCUCCUGCUAUGGCGGCAGAUUGUUUUAGGGCCACCCUUUAAUCGAAAGAUAAAGCAUGGCUUUGUAAGGAAAUGCACCGCUCACAAAAGAGAUCGAGCUAGUAGGGAGUGGUGGUACACAGUAAUGCAUUUCUGCAAUGUACCCGUUCGUUUAUACAACUGUCCGCUUCACGAAUUGAGCUUGGAGAGUGCAUGAACUGGCCGGGCCAAUCUCUGCUCUGUGCCGGUACAUGCAGCGUGACGGCGAGGACUGGAUGGGUGAUGGAUCAUGGCACUACUAGAAAAAGGGCUAUGACGAAUGGCUCUCGCUCGGGCGGAACCGCCGCUUCAUCCUACCCCAGCGACCCCAACCACCGCGGCUCUCACAGCCUCGCCGGCCUUCAUUGAUGGUGUCUCCGGCCGCGUGCUGCCCUGCGUGGCCCUGCUGGAGGCGGGGGAGGCCUCCGCUCCCCGUCUCGUUGACCCGGUCUCCGGGCGGGUCCUUCCUUGUGUGGCCUUGCGCGACUGCGAAUCUGCCGAGAUCCCGGUUAGUAACUCCACCCUUUCCCUUUCUUGCUCGCUGCCAGCCGCCCAGCCGCCCGCCGUAGUGCUUCCCUCCCCAUCUGGGGUGUCGACGGUGGCUGCUUCUGCCAGGCCGCGGCUUCAGUCGAUCGUCGUUGCCCCUGGCCGCGGAGAUUCGCCCGCACCCUGUCUGGCGCCGCACCUCCCGAGGCCUUUCUCUGGCGCAUCUGUGACGGGCUCUGCGACCGCUCCGGCUGCUCCAGCGAUUUACCCCUCGCCUCGGCCCCCUGUUGUGGCAUUUAUUGGGGGUGGGGAUGCCGCGGGGUGGACCGAGGUCACCUCUCGGCGUGCUCAGAAACUGGCACGGCGUCAGGCACGCGAGGCCGCCCGGUAUCCAAAAGAUCCGCGCCAUGAUCGCCCUGCAUCGUCUGCGGCUGCGGAUGCAUUCAAGAGGCGCUUUGGAAACGCGUGCUACCGUUGCUUGGGUUCAAGACACAAGUUCUUUGAAUGCCGAGAUCCAAUAACUUGCUACGCCUGCAAGCAGUCAGGCCACCUCGAGCGCGGCUGCCCCGAUCGCCUGAAGAGCAAGGCCGCACCAGUUCCCUCACAGCCUGCGUCGACCACUGCCUCGCUGGCCGGUGGUUCUUUCGCUGCCGUCGUGCGCGCACCCCCUCCAUCGACUGCCGUGGUGCGCCGUGGGGCGCCUACUGUGGUGCCCAUGGCCUACAUUCCAGGCGAGGCGUCGCGGAGGCCAGCCAGUUCCAGCUGCAAGGUGGUCAGCACUCCGACCAUGGAGGCGGAGGCCCACCGGCUGCGUUCUUCUGCGCUCGUCCUGACGGCAGUCGGGCACUGCUCUAGCAUCUCUGCCGACAUGGUGGCGCGUGCGGUGGAGCGGGAUUUUCGCUUCCCGCCGAGCGACAUCGUCGUCGCGCCGUUCUUCCCCAAAGACUUCCUCCUCACCACAUUCCUGCCUGACCAGAGAGACUUGGCCCUUGAGCAACGGGGCAUUGAGGUGGCCGGAGUGCAGUUCAAGUUUCGGCCAUGGCUUCCUCCACCCGGCACCAGCCGCAUCUGGCGCUACUACUGUCGGGUGGCCACCGAGAGGCUGCCGCUGAACGCCUGGGACUGGGAGAGUGUCAAGGAGGUCCUCGGCAAGGAUUGCGACCUGGACCUGAUCGAGCACCAAUCAUCCACCAAGGCCAACUACUCGGCGCUCUUCGCCUGGCUCUGGACUUGGCACCCGGACAAGAUCCCGCGUGCGUCUGACUUCGCCGUGCUGCAGCGGCCCGACGUCGUUCGUCCAAGGGAAUUUUUGCCUGAAGGCACGCCCGCAGAGGAGGGCAAAGAAGGGCCGACGUUCCCGGUGCUGAUCCAUCUGGAUGUUGUCAAAGACUACACGCCGAUCUCCCCAGGGCGCGGCGAGCGCACGAAGUGGCCGCGCUCGUAUAGCUUCAAGGGCAAGUGGAGGUUUGGCACCAAGGAUGGAGAGGACAGGGCCAGGUCCGUGGGCUCUUGCUCCAACCAUCUUGCUGGGCGCUGGAGCGAUGACGAGGAGGGGGGUGGAGGAGGCAGCAGUUGGCGCCGUGGGUCGCGUGGAGGGGUGCGCAAGCGCUUCUUUCAGAACAUGCGCGAGCAGGCCAUGUGUCGGGGCACUGCGAGCAGGGAGCCGGAGCCUCGGCGCCAUCGGCGACACACGAGCACCGCCGCUGGCGAGUGCCCGGCUGGCGCUGCUGCCCCGGUGGACCUGCAGAUGGGACAGGAUAGCCGACCGGCUGCUAUGAUCCUCGUUACUCCUGCUCUGGAGGAGGUGCAAGGGGUGCAACCCGAAGAGAUGCUGAGGGUACAGCCUGAGGUGCAGGUGGUGCAGCUUGAAGAGGUGCAGGUGGAGCAGCAUGAAAGGUUGGGGAGGCCGCGCCGACUCAGGCGCCACGAUGGGGGUUCAAGCAAUGCCCAAGAUGGCAUGCUGCGGCUGGCGCUCGCUGGUGCGCUGGGCGCGGCGGAGACGCAUCAGGAGAAGGGUAGCGCGAGCCGCACCCGCGUGCUCGUGACUCCUUCCCUGCAUGUGACGCCCGUACAGUCAACUGAGGAGUCAAGGAAGCAGCCCGACCAGCCGGACGAGGAGGACGCCCAGAGUGUCGCACAGAGCAUUGCUGCCACACCAAUGGGCAUGGCCAACACUGUGAACCCGCUUAGAGAGACCGCUCUUCCACCAUCAGACCUGACAGCUCGUGCUCUGGCAAGCAUUGGCGCGGACAAUUGGGGACCAGCCGUCCCUGGUUUUUUUUGCCCCUUUUCUCCCCACCCCGACAUGAGAUGCAGCUCUCUUCAGUCAGAAAGCAGCAACAGGCCCUUGGCAUCCCAGUACCAUGGCUCCGCCAGAACACACAUGAUACAGCUUCCCUCACCACUGUCGGGAUGGCCACCUCCUUCAAUCAGAGCCGGCGGGACAACUACGAGCUCCCCCCGCUACCACCAUCCUUGGGAUCAGGUGUACUGAAUAGCUGGGAAUCAACCGCUCCUCCGGGAACGCAACUGUGGUUCGAUUGGGAACAACCUGCACAGCAGUUUGGGCCAUGCUGGCUACCUAGCUGGGAGCCGGCCCAGUUCGCUAGCCUGCCUUGGGAACCAGACUGGGCCACGGGCCCGGAAGUGGUGUUUGGACCUGGUGCGGGGAGCAACAACACCAUUGUUCCUACGCCUUCUGUGGAAGAAACGCGAGCUAGACGUGCGCUCGCAGAAGCAAAUCUGUCAGGCCCUGGGCUCCUCACAGCUAUCACUGCCAAGGUCUCUGAGCUGCAGAUUGACGAGCAGCGGGCCUUCAUCAGCAAACUUGCUACGGUGCUAUCGUCGUCGAUUCUAGGAACGCCGUCCCCCACGGCACGCGUGUCGCGCCCCAUCAAGCAGCGCCUGCUCAGCAUCAUGAAGGGCUCCAGGCAAAGCUCCCGUCUCCUUCGCCAGCGCUCCAACUUCUCCUCCUCCAGGCGCUCCCAGGCGGCAAUCAGCGUCGCUCUUGGUUUCAUCAGGAAGGCAGAGGACUUCACCGAUGACACGCUGCUCGAGUACAUUCACUUCUUCCACAGCCCGAUGCCACCAGAGAACAUGGCAAAGCUCGCGGAAAUCGCUGGCCUGACCUCUCCGGCACAGCUGCGCCUGCCUGAUGCUGAACUCCAGGCCAUCCUGGAUGAGCUUGCGGCCACGGCCGUCUAGCGCGGCUGCUACCUAAGCGCGCCUCCGCAGUCUGUCUUAGUUUCCUAUGUUUAGUCAUCCCUAGAACCUGAACCUGAAUUUGUGUGUGCGCCGCUAUGGCUGCCGGCGUUUCAUUGCCCUGAAUUGUUUCCUUUCUGCUGCGGCUGCCUGUAUCCGGCCGUUAGCUCUGUGCGACCUUAUUGUUUCCUAUGAUUGAACAUCUUUCGCUUGUCAAUUGGAAUGUGAGGGGCCUUAAUGACGGGGCAAGACGCGCGUCUGUUCGUGCUCUGAUCAAUCGCAUGAGUUGCUCCAUUGUCUGUCUCCAAGAAUCCAAAUUAGCUGUUGUCUCCGAUGCUGAUCGGGUAGAAAUUGUUGGGGCACAGUUUGAUAAACAUGUGGCCCUGAAUGCUGAUGGGACUCGGGGUGGUGUGCUUUUGUGUUGGCACUCAGAGUCCCUAACAGCCAGUAACAUUACAGUGAGAGAUUUCUCCAUCACAGUUUGCUUUACGGCAGCGAACGAAGGCCCCAUUUGGUCUGUGACAACCGUGUAUGGACCUCAUGAUGAUGCGCGCAAGCCGGCGUUCCUUGCUGAACUUGCUGCGAUCCACAACUCCAUGGGAGGGCCAUGGAUUGUGAUAGGCGACUUCAAUCUCAUCAAAGACCCACAGGACAAAAACAAUAGUAGGAUCAGCCGCCGAUGGAUGAAUAAGUUCCGAAGCACGCUUAAUAGAUCAAAUUUGCACGAAAUUCAGUUGAUCGGGUGCUGUUUCAUAUGGAGCAAUGAGCAAGCCUAGCCAACGCUCGUGAGAUUGGAUCGUGCGUUCUGCAAUGUUGAGUGGGAACUGCUCUUCCCCGGAGCAAAGCUGCUGCCCCAAUCAUCCGCCAUAUCGGAUCACUGCCCCUUGCUCCUGGUAAACGACGUAGUCACCAAAACUAAUAGGCGGUUCCGUUUCGAGGCAUAUUGGCAGCACAUUAAGGGGUUUCGGGAGGUGGUGGAUCAAUCUUGGAACCUCCCAGUCAGGAACUCGUGCCCGAUCACUAGGUUCAAUGCUAAACUACACCGACUCAGUAAAGCCCUUAGAGCAUGGAGCAGAACGCUCGUGGGGGACAUUCAGAAACAACUUAUGAUAGUGAACGAGCUAAUCCUACAACUAGACACGGCCCAAGACUACAGAUCGCUUAAUACGGAUGAAAGUGAAUUAAGGUCAAAACUGAAAUCACGAUGCAUGGGGCUUGCCAUUCUCCUGAAAAUUAAACUGAGGCAGCGAAGUAGAAUCCUUUGGCUAAAGGCAGGAGAUGCUAACACCAAAUUUUUUCAAAGGAAAGCCAAUGCUAGGCAUAAACGCAACACAAUCCACAUCCUACAGGGACCAUCUGGACCGGUAUCCUCCUCGACGGAGAUGGGCGAGCUUGCUCACAUACAUUUCCAGAAUUUAUUUGGCAAUGAGCAACCGCGGUCCACUGCCCUCAAUUGGGACGAGCUUGAGCUGGACCUGUUGGAUCUCUCAGAUCUUGAGGGGGAAUUAUCUCUUGACGAAAUUAAAUGAGCUAUAGAUGAGAUACCAGUGGACAAAGCGCCGGGACCGGACGGCUUCUCCGACAGUUUUUUCAAACAAUGUUGGGAAACCAUUAAAUACAAUUUGUUGGAGGCCCUCAACCAACUUUACCGCAUGGACAGCCGGGGUCUUGCUCGCAUAAAUUCUUCUUUCCUUGUGCUGAUCCCCAAAAAGCAAGGGGCAGACUCUCUUCAGGAUUUCAGGCCAAUCUCACUGCUUCAUAGUUUAAUCAAGAUAUUCUCCAAGAUUCUGGCGAGCCGGCUUGCGCCCAAGCUGGAUGGUUUGAUUGAUCAAUGUCAAAGUGCCUUCAUCAAGAAGCGGUGUAUACAGGAGAAUUUUUUGUACGUUCAGAACACUGCGCGGAAACUGCACAAAUCAAAGAAAUCUUCAAUACUGCUAAAAUUGGACAUUGCCAAGGCCUUCGAUUCACUCUCAUGGCCUUACUUGAUGGAGAUGAUGGAGGCAAGAGGCUUUGGCACGCGCUGGCGUGAAUGGAUUGCCAUGUUACUCAGGACCGCAACCUCCCAGGUGAUCAUAAACGGUCAACACUCGGAGGCAAUUCAACACCGGCAAGGGCUUAGACAAGGGGAUCAGAUAUCUCCUUUCCUUUUCAUUCUCGCCAUGGACCCGUUGCAAAGAAUGAUGAAUCUGGCCACUACUAGCAGUGUCCUCUCAAAGCUUCCUGGGCGGACACCACUAAUGCGAUGCUCGUUCUACGCCGAUGAUGUGGCUUUGUUCAUGAACCCAAAGAAAAGCGAUGCCACAAUGAUUAAGCUGAUACUAGCAUGUUUUGCUCAAGCCACAGGCCUUCAUGUCAAUGCAACCAAGAGCUCGGCCCUUGCCAUACGAUGUGGCUCACUCAACCUUGACGACAUUCUGGCACCCCUCGGCAUCCCUCGCAAGAAUUUCCCAAUCACUUAUCUCGGAAUGCCUCUAUCCCUCAAAAACCUCACCAAGGCUGAUCUGGAUCCUCUAUUGGCCAAAUUUGGCAGCAAGACCGCUACAUGGAAGGGUGGUCUAAUGGCGAAAAGCGGUCUCCUUGUACUUCUUAAGUCGGGCCUCACAGCGUUGGCAAUCUAUAUGAUGACGGUGCACAAACUCCCGGUUUGGGCACUGAAGCGGCUAGUCCAACUGUGCCGUGCGUGGCUUUGGAGUGGUGAGGACACUUGCACUGGUGGCAAAUGCAGAGUGAGCUGGAAUCAGAUUUGCCGACCAAAACACCUUGGUGGUCUUGGUGUGCUAAACCUUGCAAAAUUUAGCGCCGCUUUACGCCUUCGGUGGAUAUGGCUGGCCUGGCAAGAUCCACCCAGACCUUGGUCGCGAUUGCCACUGCCAUGUGAUGACAGAGAUCAGAUGUUGUUUGCUAUGGCAACUGAGAUAUCACUCGGAGAUGGUAGGAAAACAAACUUUUGGCACGAUAGAUGGCUGUGCGGACAGUGCCCCAAAAUCAUUGCGCCGUCACUCUUCAGAAUCUCCACUCGAAAAAACCGCACCGUUCAGGAGGCCGUGCGAGAGGACACUUGGCUGUCGGGCCUCGCCAUCGGCCUUACUGAUGAAAUGUUAUCUGAACUCUCUCGCUUGGCCAUACUGCUCGAUGACGUGGUGCUGCGGGAAGGACAGCCGGACACCAUUGCUUGGCGGUUCACGUCGUCACAUGAGUACUCCGCGAGAUCCGCCUAUUUGCUGCAGUUCGAGGGGGCGAUUCAAAUGAAGGGAUACAACCUGAUAUGGAAGGCAUGGGCACCCGGAAAGUGUCGUUUCUUCUUAUGGACAUCCAUGUUGGGCAAGAUUUUGACGGCUGAUGUUCUGCUUCGCCGCGGCUGGGAGAACAACUACUUCUGCCCCCUUUGUGAACGAAACCUCGAGACCGCGCCACACUUACUAAUUGAGUGUCCUUGGUCCCGUUUCUCUUGGCAGAAAAUCGCUGCACUGUCCAGCAUCCCGGCGUUGUUACCUGACUCAUGGGAUGGAAGGGCUAGUGUUCAAGACGGGCUCUCAGGCUGUUUUGGCCGUGCAACAAAAAACAAAAAGAAAGGAACCUUGUCCCUGAUCUAGUUGAUGUCCUGGGAAUUAUGGCGAGAGCGGAACAGAAGGAUAUUUCAGCAAGAAUUCAUGAGGAAGGAAGCGUUUGUACAGAGAGUGAGAGACGAAAUUAAGCUCUGGAAUAUGGCCGGAGCGGGCAUUCCUUUUGACCCAGGCUGAGCGCUCUCGAUAGUGCUUUUCUUUCCUUUCUUCUUUUGUUCCUUCCUGUCGAGCCGCUUGGCGCUGACCCAUCUUGGGUUCCCCUGUAGCUCGAUUUUUUUCUCCUCUACUGAUUAAUGAAUUUGGUAGCUGCACUACCAACAUUCAAAAAAAAGAAAAAGGGUUAUAGAUGAUGUGGCCUCUAAUGGUGCAUCAGGCAUGUGGUGCGUUAUUACUAUAUUCUAAUGGCGCACCAAGCAUGUGGUGCGUCAUUACUAUGUUCUAAUGGCGCAUCAUGUUCUGGUGCGUCAUUAGUAGUUUUGAAAAAAAUUCUUACUGAUGGCGCACCGUUAUACAGUGCGUCAUUACUAGUUGACAUAGUAAUGGCGCACCAAACACACCGUGCGUCAUUAGUACUUUUGAAAAAAAAAUGUUNNNNNNNNNNNNNNNNNNNNNNNNNNNNNNNNNNNNNNNNNNNNNNNNNNNNNNNNNNNNNNNNNNNNNNNNNNNNNNNNNNNNNNNNNNNNNNNNNNNNNNNNNNNNNNNNNNNNNNNNNNNNNNNNNNNNNNNNNNNNNNNNNNNNNNNNNNNNNNNNNNNNNNNNNNNNNNNNNNNNNNNNNNNNNNNNNNNNNNNNNNNNNNNNNNNNNNNNNNNNNNNNNNNNNNNNNNNNNNNNNNNNNNNNNNNNNNNNNNNNNNNNNNNNNNNNNNNNNNNNNNNNNNNNNNNNNNNNNNNNNNNNNNNNNNNNNNNNNNNNNNNNNNNNNNNNNNNNNNNNNNNNNNNNNNNNNNNNNNNNNNNNNNNNNNNNNNNNNNNNNNNNNNNNNNNNNNNNNNNNNNNNNNNNNNNNNNNNNNNNNNNNNNNNNNNNNNNNNNNNNNNNNNNNNNNNNNNNNNNNNNNNNNNNNNNNNNNNNNNNNNNNNNNNNNNNNNNNNNNNNNNNNNNNNNNNNNNNNNNNNNNNNNNNNNNNNNNNNNNNNNNNNNNNNNNNNNNNNNNNNNNNNNNNNNNNNNNNNNNNNNNNNNNNNNNNNNNNNNNNNNNNNNNNNNNNNNNNNNNNNNNNNNNNNNNNNNNNNNNNNNNNNNNNNNNNNNNNNNNNNNNNNNNNNNNNNNNNNNNNNNNNNNNNNNNNNNNNNNNNNNNNNNNNNNNNNNNNNNNNNNNNNNNNNNNNNNNNNNNNNNNNNNNNNNNNNNNNNNNNNNNNNNNNNNNNNNNNNNNNNNNNNNNNNNNNNNNNNNNNNNNNNNNNNNNCCUAUAUGAAUAUUUUUUCAUAUUCAUAAAUAAUUUCAAAUAAAAAAUUUGAACAUAUUUUUAAAAAAAUUAUUACUGUUUUUAUAAAAAAAUAUUACUGUUAUGAUUUAAACAAGUUUGAACAUAUUUAAACACAAAUAAAUACCAAACAACAUUUAAAAUGCAUAAAAACAAAAAUUGGGGAGCCUGGGAAUCAAACCCAGGACCUCCUAGUGUGUGUGCUGCGUGCUGAUCAGUCGGGCUAGUGGGCAGGUUUUGAUUUAGAUAGGGUUCUGAUUUAGAUAGGGUUAGGUGGUACUUAUGGCGCACUAGGUGGAGGUGCGCCAUUAGAACCCUCCCCCCACUCCACCUGUUGCCCUCGCGCACUGUGGCCUCCCUCCCUUCCUGCCAGAUUCCCCAACCGGCCCGUGCGCGCGCCGCCCGCUCCUCUCCUCCAUGCCGCCGCCCCCACCACCGGCCCGUGCGCGCGCCGCCCGCUCCUCUCCUCUCCUCCACGCCGCCGCCCCCACCACUUGCCCGUGCGCGCGCCACCCGCUCCUCUCCUCUCCUCCUCCCUCCGACGAGCGAGGGCCUCCUCCGGCCCCUGCAGCAGCCAGCGAGCGCGGCCCCGACGCGCCCACCCCGCUUGCCCCUGCCGUCCUCCGCCACCGGCCCUUGCUCUCCUUUAACCGCGGCGAGCUCGGACCUGGCCCGGACGAGCUCGGACCUCGACCCCGACCCCUUUGUCGACCCCGACCCCGACCCCUCCGGCGACCAGGUACCUCUCCUCCUUCCUCCUUCCUCCCUCUCUCCACCCUUCCCCAUUCCUUCCAACCGAUGCUCCAAAAGGAAUUUCAAGACAUAAAUCACAUGCUCCAAAAGUUAGGGUUCAUCUGCUCCCUGCUAGUGUAGAUAUUUAGGUUGUUCAUCUGCUCCCUGCUGAUCUUCUUUGAUGAGAAUGUACCCUGGUCUUGAAUGUGUUAUGCACAAUGUGCAGAUGUUAGUGUAGAUACUAUUUUAUUGCAUGAAAAUAUUUAGAAUUUUACUUUAGUUGAGUGCUAGUGUAAUCAUGCUUGGAAAAGGAUAUUAUAGAAGAUUAAAAGUAGUUCAUUUAGGAUUUGGUAGUUGUCUGAAACUGUUGUAGUCUUAUACUACAGAAGAGUAAAAGUAGUUGGAUGAAAAUAGUAGGUUCCAUGUCACUGAAACUUUAGUGUUUGCUAAAACUGAGAUGUAAACUAAAGGAAUUUGUGAUUUGCAGAAGCUGUAGCAUACUCCAACAAGUGAUAAAUGCACUCAAAAGUUCACUAAGAAAAUGCAGAUGCUUCUCACUUGUUACUGAAAGUUUUCUGGAGUGAUAAAUGCAUGCAAAAGAAGUUUAGUUAACUGUUACUGUUGCUGUAUGAAUUCCAACCAGGUCAAUUUGCUGUCAAUUGCUCUGUAAUACUCAACCAGGUUUAUGCAAAAUGAAGAUCAACCAUGUUUAUGUAAUAGAUCAAAUUGCAAUAGAUUAUCUGCAGUAGAUCAAACUGCAGUAGAUUACUCAAUAUUCUUGCCAUUUGUUGAUAGGUUAUAAAUAUUGACCAUAAAUAAGAAUGAAUAUUGACCAUUUGUUGCUGCUAGCACAUGUUGAAGUGUACCUGAUGAUGCUUCUGUAGAAAAUUCAACCUUCCUCCUCAGGCAUGUGUUGUGUGACCUGACAAAAUAUAAAUGUGUUGUGUGCCAUGUGUUGGUAAUUCAGUAAAGUCAAACAAGUACUGGAUUUGGGCAUGUUGCUUGCUGAAAUUGUAGCAACAACAACAACAACUAUGUGUUGGUAAUUCAGUUUGUCUUAUGGGUCAUCUAAAAAAAUGUUUUAUUGGAUCAUUCUUGCUGACAACUCCUUGUGGUCAAACUCCUUGCUGACAACUGUUGUACUUGUGAGAUUCUUGUCCUUGAAUCAAAUGUGCUAUUGGUUUAGAAUGGCACUAUGAUUGUGAUAUCAUCGGUUGCAAUGUUAUUUGCAUACUUUUUCUGAACCAAAGGUUUAUAUGGUAGAUGUAUUAACAUGCCUAUCAGUCAUGUUGGUGAACUGAGAGAUGAACUGAGACCAUACAUACCUUGUUUAACCAAAGGUUUGUCUGUGGAAAUUCCUCUUUGUGGUUAUCAUGAUGGGGCUGCAGAUGAGCUUACUCUGUUACUCUGCAGAUGAGCUUACUUAUUUGUUGUGCUUGUUGUCCAGCUUACUCUCCGUUACUUUGCCCACUGCUUUCACAAUGAGAGAUUUUUCUUGGAUAAACUUGAUAUAGAGUGGUUAUUUUCAUGCAUGUUUUAUGAUCUAUUGUAAGGGUACUAAUUGGUCUCUUCUGCUGCUUAUCAGAGAUGGGGGGAAGCAGCCACCGCCGCUCUGCCACACCGUAGUACGAGUUGGAUGCUUCCGAGUUCUUCAGUAUCAUACUUGGGACUUCAGUAUCAUCCAUGACGCAUGUAUAUAAAAUGAGAGAUCUCCCCUUCACCCAUCUCAUUAUGAUAUCUGUUGUUUGCUACAUCACUCAUUGUCCCAAACUGCAGAGGCUGCCUGACAGUUUUAUGAACAUGUUGGGUGAAGAUCCGCCAAAUAAUGUGAAGCUGCGACAGGCCAGCAGCGGGUUUCGCAGGCUGUGGGAUGUGGAGUUGGUGAUCAAGGAGGGCCACAUGUACUUGUAUCGUGGGUGGGAGAAGUUCUACCGUGCCUACGACCUGCGGCUGGGGUACUUCCUUCUCUUCAGGUACGACGACACCAUGCUCACCAUGAAGGUGUUCAACACGACUAUGUGUCGCAUGUGCUACGCUGGCAAUGAUGAUGCCAGUACGUUCUGCCUCUUCUUAUUCCUCUACAUUUGGCUUUGUCUCACAUCGAUUGUUAACGGUCAUUGUUGCAUUUGGACAGGCAAUGGGAGCAGUAGCAGUGACACUGGCUACAGCCAAAGCAACAACAAUUAUGGUUGUAGCAAAAGCAACAUCGAUUCUAGCUUUAGCGAAAGCAGCAGCAAUUCUGGCAGCAAUGAUUCUGACAAGAAGAAGGAUGAUCCCGACUGGAGUGGGGGAGAAGAGGAGCAGAGUGGGGAUGAGGAGUUGUAGGAUGACGAUGGGUAUCAAGCUGAGGAUGACCUAGUGCUGGUGGUGGUUGACCAAGGGCAAGAGAUGGUGGUGGCUGACCAUGGGCAAGAGAUGGUGGUGGCUGACCAUGGGCAAGAGAUGUGGUGGAUGAGGAUGACCUAGCGAUGGUCGUGCCCGUCCUGCCUGAAGGUGGCCUCGCGAUGGUGGUGGUGCCUGACAAUGACCACGCACCGGUGGUGGCGCCGGCGAUCCCACAGCUGGGCGACAUGACCACGCCAAUUGUGGUAGAAGACUACAUCCCGCUGCCUCCACCGCAUCGCCGCUCUUGGCGCAUCAGGCUGAGGAAGGAGAAGGAGAAGAACAAUGAGAACUGAACUAUGUCAGGUAUGUCAGAUCUCCAAAAUGAUAUUUAUAUACUUAGUUACCUAUGUUAUCUCUAAUAUGCUUAGUUUCCUAUAGGUUAGCUUCAUUUUACCUAAGUUGGCUCUAAUAUGCUUAGUUUCCUAUAGGUUAGCUUCAUUUUACCUAAGUUGGCUCUAAUAUGCUAACUUAGAGCUUAUAUGCUUAGUUUCCUAUAGGUUAGAUCCAAAAUAACUUAUGUUAGUACAAAAUGAUCAAGUUUACAUAAUGAGCUUAUAGUCUUCUUCUUAUUCUUCUUCUUUUCCGAAAUGGCAUAGGUUAGCUUCAUUUUACCUAAGUUGGCUCUAAAAUGCUAAGUUAGAGAGCUUAUAUGCUUAGUUUCCUAUAGGUUAGCUCCAAAAUAACUUAUGUUAGCACAAAAUGAUCAAGUUUACAUAAUAAGCUUAUAGUCUUCUUCUUAUUCUUCUUAUUCUUCUUCUUUUCCGAAAUGACAUAGGUUAGCUUCAUUUUACCUAAGUUGGCUCUAAUAUGCUAACUUAGAGAGCUUAUAUGCUUAGUUUCCUAUAGGUUAGCUCCAAAAUAACUUAUGUUAGCACAAAAUGAUCAAGUUUACAUAAUAAGCUUAUAGUCUUCUUCUUAUUCUUCUUAUUCUUCUUCUAGUAUUCUUCUAGUCUUCUUCUUCUUCUUCUCUUCUUCUUCUCUUCUUCUUCUUCUUCUUCUUCUUCUAACUUCUUGUUUAUCAUUUUGCAGAUUUGAUUUAAUUCACGGAAGCUUGCAUGGAUGGAGUGCUUCUUUUCCAUUUGUGUUUUUAUUUUGUAUCAAUGUGAAACUUUUGUGAAUUGAUGGAUAACUGUGUUGGAUGAACAAUGUGAAACUUUUGUAAUAUGUAACGAUGGAACUAUGUGUUGGCUAUGUAUGUACAUAUGAUGAAACUUGUGUGUUGGAUAUGAUUGUUAUAUGGAUGCUUGUUGUAUAUAUAUGUGUUGGAUAUCUCAUAUGUGAAAUAGUGACCUGAGAUUAAGAAAAAACGAAAAAAAUAAAAAAAAUUGUUACUAAUGGCGCACUACCAUGUGGUGCGCCAUUAGUAUAGCAGAUACUAGUGGCGCACUGUGGGCAAUACUAAUAGCGCACUACGUGGUGCGCCAUUAGAACACCAGAUACUAAUGGCGCACCAGUGGUGCGCCAUUAGAAUUUAAUUCUAAUGGCGUGAUGCUAGUGGCGCACCGGUAGUGCGCCAUUAGAAGGUAAAACUGGUGCGCCACUAGCAUGCCUUUUCCUAGUAGUGUGGAAAGGAUAUACAGGGGCCUUGCCUUGGAUCGGCUCCCUUUGCAGUGAGAAGAACAAGAGAUGAACGGGCUGUUUGGUCUCCAACGCGCGCACAAAAGUUUCGCGCCCUAAAAUAAUUUUAUCACGCCGGAUCCAACAUUAGUUUACCAGAUGCCAAAAACGCGCGUCCAAAAAAACACAUAAUGUAAAUUGUGAAGUGCAUGCAAUCCGACGCCUCAAAUUUGCAGCAUGCGAUAGCGUCUUUCAGCGCUCGCUUAACCUUUUUUUGCGCGCGCACUAUUUUACACCUUCUACUGGGGCUGCCCGGUGCCCAAAAAUCCAAAAUUUUAGCGUGUGGAGUAGUUUUUUGGUGCCUGUUGAAGAUGCUCUAAGGCAUAGGAGUGCCACAUUUUGCCAUAAAAUAUUGUUAAAUUUGUUUGAGUUUAGUUUUUUAAAAUGAGCCACAAGUUGCAAGUAUAAGAGCAACUCCAACGCGCCGACCCAAAUGAACGCAUGUUUUGUUCAUUUGGGUCGGCCGCCCACUCGGCAUCCGCCCUGUUUUUGGUUUGGAUCGGCAGUGCGCCCAACACGCUGACCCAUAUUUGUUCGCACGGCCGGCUUGCCGUGUUUUUCAACCAAUAUACACACAUUUCGCAUGGUUUCACAAGUACACAAAUAUAUCAUAGUUUCACAACCCAAAUAAAAAUAUCAUAGUUUACAAGCUGAAUAAAAAUUAAAUUGUCUCAAAUACAUUUUUAAAAAAGUUACAUCUAUUGGUCGCCAACAUGAGUCCACAUAUACUCAACCGAAUCAUCUUGCACCUGGAUGUGAGUUUCCCAAUCACGUAUUUGAUGAUGAAAUUGGGUGAACUGUGCAAACGUUGCCGCUCCUCCUUUGUGCUCAGGCACAAAAUUGUCACCCUGAACUAAAAUCCUUGAUCGUAGAUACGUUCCGGGUGCUCAUCCUCUACGUUCAUAUUGUGCAUGAUCACACAAGCAAGCAUCACCUCCCAGAACUUCUUGGUGCUCCAAGUUCUAGCAGGAUACCGAACGAUGCCCCAUCGAGAUUGCAGAACACUAAAGGCGCACUCGACAUCCUUCCUAGCACUCCCUUGCUCUUGGGAAAAUCUCCUCUUCUUCUCUCUGACAGGGUUUGGGAUUGUCUUCACAAUAGUGGUCCACUAAGGAUAGAUACCAUCGGCUAGGUAGUAUCCUUUAUUGUACUUGUGCCCGUUGAUGUUAACAUUCACCGGCGGGCAGUUGCCUUCGGCAAACCUUUUAAACACCGGCGAGUGUUGAAACACGUUGAUAUCAUUGUGUGAUCUGGCCAUGCCGAAGAAAGAGUGCCAGAUACAGAGAUCUUGUGAGGCCACAGACUCAAGUAUGACAGUCCAAACCUUGACAUGGCCCCUAUACUGCCCUUGCCAAGCAGAAGGGCAGUUCUUGCACUCCCAGUGCAUGCAGUCUAUACGGACAAGCAUCCCUGGGAAGCCCCUCUGCUGGCAUUCAUCGCCAAUAAGAGGGUUGUAUCUUCAGCAGUUGGCUCUCUUAAGUACUCAGGGCUAAACCUGCAACCACAGCCUUGCAGAACUUGUACGUUGAGUCUAGGCACGUAGACUCGCUCAUAUGGAUGUAGUCAUCAAUGAGAUCACCAGACACUCCGUAUGCAAGAAUUCGAAUAGCUGCAGUGCAUUUCUGAUAAGAGGAGCAAUCUUUCCAAGGGCAUCCUCCUUGCACUCGAAAUACUUACUGCAUCCGAUAACCCCCUCCCGAAUACAGUUGAAAACAUGCCUAGCCAUAUGGAAACGGCGCCGAAAUCGGUGAUGUUUGAAGAGCGGGUUGGGUGUCUCAAAGUAGUCCUUCCAAAGAAGGAAAUGACAGCUCUCUCGCUUGCAAUUCGAUGUCGGAGUGUGCCCCGAGAUCGAGCCCCAGAACAACGGUCGCUGCCUACUAAGGUGGUCCGAGUGCUUCAGGGCCACUCGAUGUCCGUUCUCAACUGGUUAUCCUUAAGUGAAACCGCAGCGGAUUCUAGACUAAAGGUUUUCCGAGUGGUCUAAUAGUGUUGAUCCCUGGGCAAAACUUGGUGGCAUUUGUGUGUCUCUCAAGAGAGAUAGACUUGAGGUCCGAGUGAGGGCAUGCCAUGAAACUCGAGUGAUGACGCCAGCGCAAGGUCUGACUCUCCAGAGAGACGCCACUCUUUAUCCCAGGGAAUGCCAACACAGGCCAUCUCCAAGUCCAAAUUUAUGAGGCUCGUGCCUUGGAGCAUAGUGAAAGGGUCAAGUUAACCCGCGGAGGGGCAUCAAGCUCAUCCCAUUGCGGUCCUGAAGACGACUUCAGUCGGGUGUUUUACGUGUCCAAGUGCACGACAACCUUAGGAAGGUGGUCGGUCGGGCCGACGGGUGUCCUUUAGGAAAGGAGCGGGAGGUAAUCAAUUAGAUUGAUUUCUCGCUGAAAUCUCGGGAUUUGAAAUUGAGCGUGCGCGCACUGAGCGGUUACGCCCUGGCUUAGUGGGUAAGGGAGUCCUGGAUUAGGGGGUCCUCGGGUGUUCGGUCUAGUCGAUAUGGGCUGGACUGAUGGGUCGUGAAGAUAAAACAGAAGACUAUCCCCCGUGUCCGGGUAGGACUCCUAUAUGCAUGGACAACAAGCUUGGUGUUCGGGUGUACUAUUUCCUUCCUCUGCAAACCGAAUUUGUACAACCCUAGGCCCCUAUGGUGUGUAUAUAAACCGGAUGGUUUAGACCAUAGAGGCUAUCAGAAUAAUCAUAGGCUAGACAACUAGGGUUUAUCCAUUACGAUCUCGAGGUAGAUCAACUCUUGUAAUCCCUAUACUCUUCAAAUACAAUCAAGCAGGGCGUUGGAUUUUACCUCCUUUAAGAGGGCCCAAACCUGGGUAAACAUCGUGUCCCUAUUGUCUUCUUAUUACCAUUGAUCCUUAGACACGCAGCUUGGGACCCCCUACCCGAGAUUUGCCGGUUUUAACACCGACAUUGGUGCUUUCAUUGAGAGUUCCGUUGUGUUGUCGGCUGAGGAAUCGAUGGCUCGCCUCUUUGUGUUUGGCAGCUUCGUGCUACAUGCCAACUCGAUCGGUUACCUCGAGUAGGUCGAUAGCUAUGCCCCUGGUCACCAGAUCAGGUUUGGAAGUCUAAACUACAUCGCCGAUAUCAGAGGAGACCUGAUCUUUGAAGGCUUCACGGCCUCGGCCGCCGCUCCUCGCCCGCACGAAGAAGGCCCUUAAGAUCUACUAUCAGAUCCCGUCCAAGGGUCGACACUCACGCUCGGCCUGGCCUUAGAUCUGGAGUGGACCGCAUCGUUCGAAGACGGGAGGAUAAACCUCGCCGGACUCUUUUCCCCCAUGGAGCUUCCAGCCGGAGACUCAGAGACGACCGCACCAUUGGCGGACCCGGAGUCAAACGGGACUCUUCCCGUUGUCGGGGGUCCAGACUCGCCUCCGGAGUCGAACUCCGAACUCUUGAAGUCUGUGCCCCUCGGGCUCGGGCAAGAGGUUAUCGCCGAGCCUAGUCCCGCAGAUCCUCAGACGUCUGUCCAGCUCUCGCUUUUAAACGAAGAUCUGGACUUAAUACAAUCUCUCGCCAUCACGGAGGUAUCGCCUCCGAACUAUACCCAGCUCGAACUGGGGGUUGAGAACAGGUAAUUUUACAUCCCACCCACCACCCACUUAAUAGCCGAUGUCGAGGAUCUAACCGACAUGCUAGAUUACGCCUUUGAAGAUAUCGACGACAUGGACGACAAUGUCAAAACCGAACCAAGAUUCGACCCGCCCAUCACUGGGAGUUGGACGGCCACCUCUACCUACAAUGUAUACAUGAUGGAUACACCUGAGAAUAAGGACGACAAUGGCACUCGAGAUCCAGACGAGGACAAGCCCAUCAAUGACCACCAAAGCGUCAGUGUCAGAGGCGCCGCUCACGAUCAUGUCGGGCAAGGGAAAGCAAUACCGGCACUGAAGAUAAUGACACUCCGAACAACGCCGAAGACCCCGACCACCCCGUCGAGCCUACGUUUGAGAAAGAUGAAAGGGAAGAGGGUCAAUACAGCCCCGAACACGCUAAUCACAAGGAUUUAGAAGAUAGUAACUAUUUACCUGUCUCUGAAGAGGAUGUUAGCCUUGGUGACGAUGAUUUCAUCAUCCCAGAGGAACCCCUCGAACAAGAACACUUCAAGCCAUAGCUCAUCGCCACCGCGCGGAGCCUGAAAAAGAAACAACAGCAGCUUCAAGCCGAACAGGAUACACUCAAUGAUAGAUGGACCAAGGUCCUAGCUGUCGGUGUCAAAACCAGCGAAUCUCGGGUAGGGGGUCCCGAACUGUGCGUCUAAGGUCGAUGGUAAUAGGAGGCGGGGGACACAAUGUUUACCCACGUUCGGGCCCUCUCUACCGAGGUAAUACCCUACUUCCUGCUAUAUUGAUCUUGAUGAUAUGAGUAUUACAAGAUUUGAUCUACCACGAGAUCGUAAUGGCUAAACCCUAGAAGUAUAGCCUAUGAGGAUUGUCUAUCUGUCCCUACGGACUAAGCCCUCCGGUUUACAUAGAUACCGGAGGCGACUAGGGUGCAGAGUCGGUUACAGAGAAAGGAAUCUACAUAUCCGAUCGUCAAGCUUGCCUUCCAUGCCAAGGAGAGUCCCAUCCGGACAUGGGAGAGAAUAUUCAGUCUUGUAUCUUCAUAGCCCUACAGUUCAGCCCACAUCAAUAGUCCGGAUGUCCGAGGACCCCUUAAUCUGGUACUCCCUCAGUAGCCCCUGAACCAGGCUUCAAUGACGAGGUGUCCGGCGUGCAGAUUGUCUUCGGCAUUGCAAGGCAGGUCCUCCUCCGAAUACUCAAAAUAUUCUUUCGAACACAAGAAACGUAUCCGACUCUGCAAAACAAAUACCACACACAACCGUAGAGAGUACAAUAAUUCACGAGUUCAAUCUGCUGACAACUUUUUACAACAUGACAUCACAUCGAUGCCCGGUUAUUAUUCGAACCGUUUUUUAGCCCACCGCCCCAUGUUUCAAGAUGCGGUUCCAUUGGCACGUCUCGUGAAAGCAGAGAUUGUGUCCCCUUAUUGCGAGAUUCUCAUCAAUACGGGUAUGGGUAAUCCCACCGCACCGUUUGCACGGCCCUUGGGGAUAAGCAAGUUUUUAGGGCAAGUGGGGAGGCGCUUGAUAUUCACUGUCUUUAUAAAGGGAUAAGGAUCCAACUCUUUCACCCAUGCCUUCUCUCUACUUCCCCAUUCUCGAGCUCCAGCGCCAAAGCUUCCAUCUCUUCCGCCCCCAAAAGCACUCCAACCAUGUCCGGAUCCAGAGCGCAGGGCAAGUGGAUGGCUUCCUCCGUCAAGGAGAAGGAUAUCCAGAAAUUCCGGGAGGCCGGGUAUCUGGCCAAGGAGAUCGCGCACCGUCUCCCGGCCGUGGGACAGAUCGUCCCUACUCUAGAACCCCAUGAGAGGGUUGUAUUCCUCCCUCAUUUUGUUUGCGGGUUGGGGUUUCCCCUCCACCCUUUCGUUCGCGGGCUCAUGUAUUACUACGGGAUAUAUUUCCAUGACCUAUCCCCCAAUUCCUUCCUCAACAUCUCGACAUUUAUUGUCGUGUGCGAGGACUUCCUCCGCAUCCCUUCACACUUCGGACUAUGGCUAAAGAUCUUCAACAUGAAGCCGAAGGUGGUAGGUGGCGAGCACGCCGAGUGCGGAGGCUCCAUGGUGAGCAAGAUGCCCAAUGUCAAAUGGACAUCAGGUACAGGGUGGCAACAACAGUGGUUCUACGUCACUGAGCCACGCGGCACCAAAUGGGACGCAGCUCCUGAAUUUCAAUUCGGAGCCCCAUUGCGGCUUACUUCCUGGCCCGACAAGGGCCUAGACUGGUCUUCGUCAGAGGAGCUGACGACGCUCCAGGCGCGUAUCAAGAGCAUGGGGGACAAGAAUAUCAAUAUUGUCGAUGUGGUCCAGGUGAUGCUAGUUCGCCGGAUCCUUGCAUGCCAACGCCAGACUUGCAAUCUAUGGGAGUUCGAUCCGGCCAAGCACCAGACCCUGCUAGAGUUCUUUGGCACAACGCACGAAGACAUUUGGAAGGUGCUAUUCAAGCCUGGCAAGUCGUGGUCGGACACCGCGGAGGAUCGUGGGUACAAAUUGUCCCGUCCCGCAAGUUCGGUAACUAUUUAUAUGUUUUCAAGGUGUAUUCUUUAUUUGCAUACUUGAGGGAAACGCCUAAUAUUUCCCUAAUGAUUCUCCCAGGCUGGACGAACAAGGUAGAGUGGAUCUACUAUCCGGCCCCGCUGCCCAAACAACAAGCAGGCCCACUUCUGACGAAGAUGCUGGUCCCGGCGCCUUAUAAGGCACCAAAGAAGAAGGCCAAGAAGGAGGCCAAGGAGACCAGGGGCGGUCUCCGUCGCAAGGGUACUUCGGACGUGGUGUCCGAAGACGCCGAGGCCCACUCCUCCGCCGAAGAAGACGAGGAAGAGGAGGAAGAAGAAUAGGAAAGCCAUUCCCCCCUACGAGGGGGAGAAAGAAGAGGACGGCCUCCAAACAUUUGGAGGCUGAAACGUCUAAGAAGGGGAAACCUUCCCUUUUAGACAAAUCCACCACAACCACCAACAGCAGCCUGGAGUGGGAACCCAGGGUCAAGCCCCUGGCCAAAUCCUGAGUAGAAAGAAACCCGGACACAUUCAUAUAUCUAGCCUCACUAUUGCAUAGUAUUAAUAUGUUGAAUCAUGCAUUUUGCAGUCCGGCCAGGUCCAACGUCGAGCGAUCUUCAUCAGAGGACUCGCUAGACCUGGAUGCGAUGGACAACAGGACCCUCCCGACGGCCUCCUCCCCCAAGGGCAUGGACAACACCGAGGUGUCAUCCCAAAGGAACCCAGGCCAGGGAGGAGCUCAGGAGACCGUCGGGGCGACACCGGAGGGUCAAACCUCGGCAACCAGACACAUGGGGGAGCAGACCGCCAUGGAUACUGACAGCGGGGGCCAUCCUGAAUUCAGCCCCCCGGCCAGACACAAUUUCGGAGACCAAUACGGAUCCGGAAUCAGGCAAGCAACCCCCUUCAACAUAAGAGGGUGCGCCUAUUCCACCGGUGACCUCUGUCCACCCAGAGGCGCCGGAUUCUUUGUUGGUGGCGAUGCGAAGCGCUUCCAUUGUUGAAGGGCAUAGUACCCUUAUGGGUGCAAUGAUUGAGAAGAUUCAGUCCGCCAAAAGCGGGUUGACCGAAGCCUGCACUAGCCUUCUAACAGGCUUUGAGGUAAGCAGUGAAGUUAAAUAUAAAAAUAAUGUCACAAUAUAGAUAGUAGCCCCUGAUACACUGUUCGGUGUUCAAAAAGAAAAGCCGGACAAAGGAUCAAAUAAUUUUCGCAGGAGACUAACUAUGAAAUAUCUAUCUGAAUAAGUAGGCGUCCUUAUUGACUGCAACCUCUCAUACCGCGGAGGUCUCCGGACUGAAGCAGAGUCUGGAGCAAGCCGAGAAAGAGCUCGACCAUGUAAAGAAGCAACUGGAGGAUAACCAAGGUAUGGAAUAACCUUGUUUGUAUUCAAUACGGAUGAAUAAUUUAUUUUGACUAAAAAUGUCAUGACAUAUAUUAGGAGCGGCAACCGAGGUCGAGGCUCUCAAGAAGGCGCUAGCCGAGGCCGAAAAGAAAGCGGCCAAGGAGCAGGCCGCUCGUGAAAAGCACGAGGCCAGGGUCAUUGAGGUUCAACAAGAGCUCCAAGAGGCCGUGAAGAAGUGUGUGAUCCUGGAGCAGAGUAUGGCGGAUAAAGAAUCUGAACUCACCAAGGCUCGUCAAUCCGCACACGAUCCCGGGUUGAAGCCCAAGGCGCCCUCUAGGAAAUCCAGGAGGCCAGAAAAAUCACGGCGGGUAAGGCAUUUAUUACGCAGAGCAAAUAUGUGACGGAAAAGUUCCUUUUACUGACCCGAAUUCGGAGUUCUCCAGGAGUGUUUGCGGAUCUGCCGCACAGCGUGUCCGACGCCACAUAAUUCUACCGAGCCGAAGAGGGGAGCUCUAUGGAGAAGCUGUUCUGGUCGCAAUAUCUUGCGCCAGAACAUCCAGUGCCCUUUAUCGAUCAGCUGAAACAGCUGGUCGAGCUGCAUAGGGCGGUCAAACUAGCCAUGAAGGAUUUGAUAAUCCGACUAUGUCCUGCCGAAGCUAUUCCCAGCAGCUACUUCGGACUUGUGAAGCGGCUGGUUAGUGCCUGCCCUCGGCUUGACGCCAUCAAGCGGUCGGUCUGCAUCGAAGGCGCGCGAAUGGCCUUCGCCCGCACCAAGGUGCACUGGGCAAAGAUGGAUGCCAUGAAGCUGAUGACCGAAGGACCGCCCGCAGGGAAGGAGCACCGCAAGCCCGAGAUGUACUAUGAAAGUGUCUUGGAGGGAUACCGCCUUCUGGCAGAGCAAUGUGCCAAGGAUAUUAUAUUCCCAUGAAUACAUUCAUGUUAUCUUGUGAUGUAAUAUGGAACAAGGUCGUUAUGUAAUAUAAUGCUUGUUAUUUGAAAUUUUUACCUCCUGUGCGGCCGUUUUUAUAUUAAUUCUGAGUGUUGGCCAGUCGUCGGCUUCUGCCCCCACAUAGGAAGUACGAUGGUGUUCGGGAUAAAUCUAAACACUCUUUACUCUAGAUUUUGGUCCUUAAAGAAGGUGUUUAGCGCAACGAACCAGGCAAUCGGAGUAUAAGGCUUUAUCACCCUCACUUAGCCAUAGGAGUUUGACAGUAAAAAAAUGUAGGCGCAGCCCCUAGUGUUCGGAAGUCCGAACUUGGGGUUCUGUAAACACCUAACUGGAUAAAAACUGAUUUGUCGAACGAUGCAUUAGAUAUCGCAUAAUGCGGAAGAAAUCGUUAAAGAUUUUGUGACCUCUCGAACAUCUGACCAGCUCUCGCCGCAUCAUGAUAGUUGGUUUUCGUCUUUCUCUACUGAGGUGCUCAUCCGGAAGAACUGGGACACAAUCGCAGUAGUUCUACCUUUACUACCCUAGCCGAUAUAGAGGAACGUAAGGUAGCAAGCACAGGAGCCGGGCAACCCAACUAUUGACCCAAGACAUGAUUCGGAGCCGAUGCAUAUAAUGCUAUAAGUUCGGGGUGCUGAACAACUGUAAAGGUGUUCAGACUUUCUUGCCGUGUUAUGGGGUACAAUGAAGCCCCUGGCGAAUUAAGGCAUACCAGAGUGUAUGGUUGCAAUUUGACAAAAAUAUCAAAAAAUGAAACAGCAAGUGAAUGUCAUAUAAAUAGAGCUGCAAAUUUCAUUGUAAUUCAAUAAUACGUCAAAGCAUAUAAGUACAAGUAGUGCGAUAAACAAUAUGACUUAGGAACGUGCUGAGACCAGGGGGAACUGCGUGCGGAUCCAGUGACACAUAGAAUGAUCAUCGAGAAGAAUAUCUAGAGAUUCCCUCGCGCGGUCGAGCUACUUCCCUCCUUGGUAUAUCCGUCCUUUGAUAGGUCCAGCAAUCAGGUCGCCAGUAACGGCCUAGACAAAAAGUAACCUGAAAAGAAAAAUAAAAUGUAAAAUAAUGUGUGUCCAGGAGCGGUUGAGCUGCAUUGUGGAACACAACCUAGCUGUGCCUCUGUCUAUCCCAUGGUAUCUUUAGUGCGUAGUUAUGUACGCGCGGUACGAAGGCCGCAGUUUGGUCAGGGUUGGGACGGAGGCCGAAUUGCUAGUCAAGCUCUUGACGAGCUAUACUGUCCCGCUGCAGGGUAGUUCAGACUCUUUUGACAGUGUUCGGGAGCUUGGCCGCCGAAUUAAGGUUCAACCUGAAGAGGCUGCUCUAUGCUUCUGCUGCAAGGGCAGCGGUGUGCUCCUCAGUACGAAGGGAGCAUUCCGUGUUUCCAUUGACUGUUAUGAUACCACGUGGACCGGGCAUCUUUAGCUUGAGAUAAGCAUAGUGUGGCACCGCAAUGAAUCGAGCAAAUGCAGUUCGUCCGAGCAGUGCGUGAUAGCCACUACGGAAAGGGACGAUAUCGAAGAUUAACUCUUCGCUUCAGAAGUUAUCCGAGGAUCCGAAGACCACUUCCAGUGUGAUUGAGCCCGUACAGCGGGCCUCUACGCUUGGGAUGACACCUUUAAAGGUGGUUUUAGUGGGUUUUAUUCUUGAGGGGUCAAUACCCAUUUUGCGCACUGUAUCCUGAUAUAGCAGGUUCAGGCUGCUGCCACCGUCCAUUAGGACUCGUGUGAGAUGAAACCCAUUGAUGAUUGGGUCGAGGACCAGUGCGGCUGAACCGCCAUGACGGAUACUGGUCGGGUGGUAUCUGCGAUCAAAAGUGAUUGGGCAGGACGACCAUGGGUUAAAUUUUGGGGCGACUGGCUCCACCGCGUAGACGUCCCUGAGUGCACACUUGCGCUGCCUCUUGGGUAUAUGGGUAGCGUAUUUCAUGUUCACCGUCUUGACUUGGGGGGAAACUUCUUCUGACCCCCUGUUUUCGGUGGGCGGGGCUCCUCGUCAUCAUCAUCGCUUUGCGGCUCCUUCUCCUUGUGCUCGGUGUUUAACUUGCCAGCCUGUUUAAACACCCAACAUUCUCUGUUAGUAUGGUUGGCUGGUUUAUCAGGAGCGCCGUGGAUUUGGCAUGGACGAUCGAGUAUGCGGUCCAAAUUAGACAGGCCCGGAUUGUUUCUUUUAUAUGGCUUCUUUCGCUGACCGGACUUGGAGCCACUGAAUCCGGCGUUGACUACCAUGUCUUUGGUGUUGUCACCGUUGUUUCGACGCUUGUGUCUGCUGCGUUAGGGCUUGCCAUUGCUAUCUCUGGCUUUAGAAGUGCCAGUUUUACCUGAGUUGUUGUUGCUACAAGCUAGCCAGCUAUCUUCGCCCGCACAAAAGUGGGUCAUAAGCGUCGUAAGGGCUGCCAUGGACUUCAACUUUUCUUGGCCGAGGUGUUGGGCGAGCGAUUCGUCACUGAUGUUGUGUUUCAAAGCCGCUAGGGCUUCGGCAUCCGGACAGUCGACGAUCUGGUUCUUUUUAGUUAAGAACCUAGUCCAAAAUUUCCUAGCUGACUCUCUCGGCUGUUGGAUUAUGUGACUUAGGUCGUCAGGAUCCGGAGGUCGAACGUAGGUACCUUGGAAGUGGUCGAGGAAGGCAUCUUCCAGGUUCUCCCAACUGCCGAUGGAGUUUUCAGGCAGACUGUUCAACCAAUGCUGAGCUGGUCCCUUGAGUUUUAGCGAGAGGUACUUGAUGGCGUGGAGAUCAUCACCGCGGGCUAUAUGAAUAUGGAGAAGAAAAUCCUCAAUCCAUACCGCGGGAUCUGUUGUCCCAUCAUAUGAUUCGAUGUUUACAGGUUUAAACCCUUAUGGGAUUUCAUGUUCCAUUACUUCAUCAGUGAAGCAUAGGGGGUGUGCGGCGCCUCUAUGUCGGGCCACAUCGCGACGCAGCUCUGGUGGAGCUAGUUUGCGGUAUUCGGCCCGAACAGGGUUGUAUUUGUUACAUCCGGCAAGGCGGACGUCGUUGUGUAUGGGGCCGCGCCCCUGCGAUCCAUAGAUCGAUCUGGUCUAGCCUGCUUUGCCUUCCAAGUCAUGCCGCAGGUUAUGUGUGUAUCCCCGAGCUGUUGUGUUUCUAUUUGUUCGACGAGGUAGUGCGGGCUGGUGUUCGUACUGAGUUGCCGCUUUAUCCCGGCCACGUGGUGGUCGGUCAGCUGCAUUAUACACGGGUAGUACAGGCUCCAACGCCUCGUCAUCGAAUUGAGGUAGCAAUUUGCGCUUCGGGUAACUUUUGGUUGGCUGUUCGAGUCCAUAUUCCUCGGCUGCCAGGACCUCAGUCCAUCUAUCAGUGAGGAGAUCUUAAUCAGCUUGAAGCUUAUGCUGCUUCUUCUUUAGGCUCUUUGUAGUGUCUAUUAGCUGGCGCUUAAAACACUCCUGCUCGACGGGAUCCUCUGGCACGAUAAAGUCUUCGUCGCCGAGGCUCACCUCGUCCUUGGAGAGAGGCAUGUAAUUACUGUCCUCCGAGCCUUCGUUCAUGGCCUGUUCAUCAGGGCUGGCUCACCCGUCUUCCCGUUUUGCAUGUUCGAAAGUUGGCUCGACGGGGUCUUCGUUGUCUUCAGCAUCGUCCGGAGUGUUAUUUUCUCCAGUUUUGGUAUCACUGUUUUUACCAUGGCGUGAUUUGGAGCGAUGCCACUGACGUCAGCACUUUGACUGAUUUUCAGGAGGCUUAUCCUCGACUGAAUCCUUUUUGUCAUCGCCAUUGUUUUCCUUGGGUGUAUCCACCAUAUAUACGUCAUACGAGGAGGUGGCCGUCCAGCGCCUUGUGCGCGGUGGCUCUUGCAUCUCCUCCUCUCUGGCAUCAUUGUCCAUACCGUCGAUGUCUUCAGAGUCAUAAUCGAGCAUGUUGGUCAAAUCUUUGACAGUGGCUAUGAAGUGGGUGGUUGGUGGGGAUUGAAACUCUGCGCUCUCGGCUUCCAAUUCGAACCAGAUAUACUUCGGUUGAGAAUCCCCAGAUAAGGCAAGGGCCCUUAAUGAGUUUAGCACAUCGCCUAAAAGCGAGUGCCGGAAGAUAUCCACGGAGCUGAACUCAACGAUCGGCGCCUGAUUGACAGGCGCGGAUACACGUGGUUCGGAACCUAUGUCCACGGACGAGUCCGAGGUUCCGAUGACACAUGCCUCGUUGGAGGUCAGAUCUGUGUUCAGCUCCAACGCCGCUGAGCCUACGGUUUCCAUGGCAGGGUUGAGCCUCCCGUCCUCGAAUGGCGCAAUCUGCUCUGGCUCUAAGGCCAGAGCAGUUACAGGCGCUAUCUCCUGAGCAUGGUCCGAUGAAAGAUUUAGGUCAUGUUCAUCGUGGCGGCAGGGUGCGGCUGUCAUGGGCUCGAAUCCAUAGAAGAUCAAGUCUCCGCGGAUGUCGGUGGUGUAGUUCAAGCUUCCAAACCUGGCCUGAUGACCAGGGGCAUAGCUGUCAAUCUGCUCCAGAUGGCCAAGAGAGUUGGCCCGUGAUACGUCUCCGUCGUAUCUACUUUUCCAAACACUUUUGCCCUUAUUUUGGACUCUAAUUUGCAUGAUUUGAAUGGAACUAACCCGGACUGACGUUGUUUUCAGCAGAACUACCAUGGUGUUAUUUUUGUGCAGAAAUAAAAGUUCUCGGAAUGAGCUACAAAUCCAUGGAGAUAACUUUUGGAAAAUAUAAAAAAUACUGGCAAAAGAAUCAAGGGCAGGGGGCCCACACCCUGUCCACGAGGGUGGGGGCGCGCCCCCUCCCCUAGGCGCGCCCCCUGUCUCGUGGCCCCCCUGAUGCUCCACCGACCUCAACUCCAACUCCAUAUAUUCUGUUUCGCGGAGAAAAAAAUCAGAGAGAAAGUUUCAUCGCGUUUUACGAUACGGAGCCGCCGCCAAGCCCUAAUCUCUCUCGGGAGGGCUGAUUUGGAGUCCGUUCGGGGCUCCGGAGAGGGGGAUUUGUCGCCGUCAUCAUCAUCAACCAUCCUCCAUCACCAAUUUCAUGAUGCUCACCACCGUGCGCGAGUAAUUCCGUCAUAGGCUUGCUGGACGGUGAUGGGUUGGAUGAGAUUUACCAUGUAAUCAAGUUAGUUUUGUUAGGGUUUGAUCCCUAGUAUCCACGAUGUUCUGAGAUUGAUGUUGCUAUGACUUUGCUAUGCUUAAUGCUUGUCACUAGGGCCCGGGUGCCAUGAUUCCAUAUCUGAACCUAUUAUGUUUUCAUGAAUAUAUGUGAGUUCUUGAUCCUAUCUUGCAAGUCUAUAGUCACCUAUUAUGUGUUAUGAUCUGACAACCCCGAAGUGACAAUAAUCGGGAUACUUCUCGGUGAUGACCGUAGUUUGAGGAGUUCAUGUAUUCACUAUGUGUUAAUGCUUUGGUCCGGUACUCUAUUAAAAGGAGGCCUUAAUAUCCGUUAGUUUCCAUUAGGACCCCGCUGCCAUGGGAGGGUAGGACAAAAGAUGUCAUGCAAGUUCUUUUCCAUAAGCACGUAUGACUAUAUUCGGGAUACAUGCCUACAUUACAUUGAUGAACUAGAGCUAGUUCUGUGUCACCCUAUGUUAUAACUAUUACAUGAUGAAUUGCAUCCGACAUAAUUAUCCAUCACUGAUCCACAAGCUUUUCACCUAUUGUGCUUUGCUUAUUUAUCUUUCUGUUGCCACUAUUACAAUUACUACAAAACUGCUAUCGUUACUUUUGCCACUAUUACCAUUACUAUCAUACUACUUUGCUACUAAAUACUUUGCUGCAGAUACUAAGUCAUCCAGGUGUGGUUGAAUUGACAACUCAACUGCUAAUACUUGAGAAUAUUCUUUGGCUCCCCUUGUGUCGAAUCAAUAAAUUUGGGUUCAAUACUCUACCCUCGAAAACUGUUGCGAUCCUACUUGUGUGUUAUCAAGACUAUUUUCUGGCGCCAUUGCCGGGGAGGAUAGAUCUAUUAUUUGAGUCACUUGGGAUUUAUAUAUGCUGAUCACUAUGAAGAACUUGAAAGAUCAAAGAACUAAAAUUUAUCCCUCAACUACGAGGGGAGGUAAGGAACUGCCAUCUAGCUCUGCACUUGAUUCUCCUUCCGUUAUGAGUAAACUUGCGACACCUAAACCUGCUACUGCUAUGAAUUCUGAUAUGUCGCAUGUUAUUGAUGAUGCCACUUCUACUAUGCAUGAUACUUGUGAUGAAACUACUUCUAUGCUUGAUACUACUGUGCCAUUAGGUGAAUUUCUUGAUGAACAACUUGCUAGAGCUAGGGAGAAUGAAAUUAUUGAAACUGAUAAUAUUGAUGGUAGUGAUGAUGAAGGUUCUCCCCCUAAAUAUGAAUUUCUUGUUGUUUCUGAGGGUUAUGUUAUGGAUGAAGAAACUGCUAGAGAUCUUUUUGCUUGCAAUGAUAGAUCUAAUCUUAAGAAAUUACUAGCUAAACUUAAACAGAAAACUCUGAAUGCUAGAAUGAAAUAUGACCCUGCUUUUGCUACUUCACCUAUCUUUGUUACUGAUAAGGAUUAUGAAUUCUCUAUUGAUCCUGAGAUAAUUACUUUGGUUGAAUCUGAUCCUUUUUAUGGCAAUGAAUCUGAAACUGUUGUGGCACAUCUUACCAAGUUGAAUGAUAUAGCCACCUUGUUUAGUAAUGAUGAGAAGUCUCGCUAUUAUUAUAUCCUUAAAAUAUUUCCUUUCUCAUUAAAGGGUGAUGCUAAAACUUGGUUUAAUUCUCUUGAUCCUGGUUGUGUGCGUAGUCCCCAGGAUAUGAUCUAUUACUUCUCUGCUAAAUAUUUCCCUGCUCAUAAGAAACAAACUGCCUUGCGGGAAAUAUAUAAUUUUGUGCAAAUUGAAGAAGAGAGUCUCCCACAAGCUUGGGAAGGCUUCUCCGAUUACUUAAAGCUUUGCCUGAUCAUCCUCUUAAUAAAAAUGAAAUACUUGAUAUCUUUUAUAAUGGACUAAUUGAUGCUUCCAAGGACCACUUGGAUAGUUGUGCUGGUUGUGUUUUUAGGGAAAGAACAGCCGACCAAGAUGAAUUGUUAUUGAAUAAUAUGUUGAUUAAUGAAAGUAAUUGGACUCUUCCUGAGCCAAUUGAGCCAACUCCUGAUCCUAUUCCUAAACCAACUCCAAAGAAGAGGGUGUUCUAUUUCUGAGUCCUGAAGAUAUGCAAGAGUCAAAGAAAUCAAUGAAAGAAAAAGGUAUUAAAGUUGAAGAUGUUAAGAAUUUACCUCCUAUUGAAGAAAUACAUGGUCUUAAUAUACCGCCUGUUGAAGAAACAUAUUGUCUUCAUAACCCAACACAGGUAGUGAAGGUAAAUUCUCUCUAUAGAUAUGAUAAAGUUGAAAUCCCGUCUACUAAAUUUCAUAGCCAAUGUUUGGAUGAAUUUGAUGACUUUAUGGAUAAACAAGAAAAUUUCAAUGAUUAUGUUAGUAGACAGUUGAAAAAUAGUACUUAUAUGAUUGGACGCUUGAGUGAUUAUAUGUCUAGAGUUAAGGGUGAACUUAAACUCACUAGUAAACAUGUCUCUAUGGUCACCACUCAAGCCGAACAAGUACUUAAGGCUCAGAAUGAAUUGCUUGACGAAUUAAAUAAUAAACAUGAUUUUGCUGUUAGAGUGGCUACUAGAACUGGUAAAAUGACUCAGGAACCUUUGUAUCCUGAAGGCCACCCUAAGAGAAUUGAACAAGAUUCUCAGAAAAAUAAUUUAGAUGCUCCUAGUCCUUCUAAAAAGAAGAAAAAGAAAAAUGAUAGGACUUUGCAUGCUUCUAGUGAACCUAAUGUAGAAACACCUGAGAAUCUUAAUGAUAUUUCUAUCUCUGAUGCUAAAACACAAUCUGGAGAUGAACAUGAACCUAAUGAUAAUGAUAAUGAUGAUGUUCAUGUAGAUGCUCAACCUAGCAAUAACAAAGAUAUAGAAAUUGAACCUGUUGUUGAUCUUAAUAACCCACAAUCAAGAAAUCAAUGUUAUGAUAAGAGAGACUUUGUUGCUAGGAAACAUGGUAGGGAAAGAGAACCAUGGGUUUAGAAACCCAUGCCUUUUCCUCCUAAACCAUCCAAGAAAAAGGAUGAUGAGGACUUUGAGCACUUUGCUGAAAUGAUUAGACCUAUUUUCUUAUGUAUGCGCUUAACCGAUAUUCUUAAAACAAACCCUUAUGCUAAAUACAUGAAAGAUAUCAUUACAAAUAAAAGAAAAAUACCCGAAGCUAAAAUCUCCAUCAUGCUUGCCAACUAUACCUUUAAGGGUGGAAUACCUAAGAAACUUGGUGAUCCCGGAGUACCCACUAUACCAUGCUCCAUAAAAAGAAAUUAUGUUAAAACUGCCUUAUGUGAUUUAGGAGCCGGUGUUAGUGUUAUGCCUCUUUCCUUAUACCGUAGACUUGAAUUAAGUAAGUUGACACCUACUGAGAUAUCCUUGCAAAUGGCUGAUAAAUCAACUGCUAUACCUGUCGGCAUAUGUGAGGACGUGUCUGUUGUUGUUGCGAAUGUUACUAUCUUAAUAGACUUUGUCAUUCUUGACAUUCCUAAGGACGACAGUAUGUCGAUUAUCCUUGGUAGACCCUUUUUAAACACUGCAGGUGCUGUUAUUGAUUGCAACAAAGGCAAUGUCACCUUUCAUGUUAAUGGUAAUGAGCAUAUGGUACACUUUCCGAGGAAACAACCUCAAGUUCACAACAUAAACUCUAUUGGGAAAAUUCCAUCAAUAAUUAAUGGAGGUUUUGAAUUUCCUCUUCCUACUGCAAAGAAAAGGUAUGAUAUUCUUAUUAUUGGGGAUGUUCAUAUCCCCGUUGAGGUAACCUAGUAUCAAUUCGAAAUUUCUCCGGUUUCAUGUGAUUCGGAAUGAGUUUGUUAACCAGACUUGAUCAACCUUGUUAGUGGAUUCCUUUCAAUGAUCAUGAGAUGGAUGAAACUAGAAGGCACCACCUUCUGUACCCUCUUUUUAAUUCCUGUUAAUUAGAAUAAAUAAAGUAGAAAUAGUAUAUUUUGUCUGUUUUCUGAAUUAUCUAUGCAAUAAAAAAAUAUCCCGAAAAUAAAAGUUCUCCAAAUGCCAAGCCAAUUUCAUAUGAUUUUUUCUGAAAUAUUUGAGAAUAUUUGGCACUGAGAACACAUCAGGGGGAGCAAGCACCUGGCCACGAGGGUCCAGGGUGUGCUCACCCCUACAAGGCACGCCCCCCUGCCUCGUGGGCCCAUGGUGGCUCCCCUCCACUUAUUCCUGCACCCACACACUCCAUCUUCCUCCAAAAAAAAUCCCCAUCCAGCUCAAGCACGAGUUCUAGCUUGUUUUGCUGCCAUUUUUGAUCUCCUUGCUCAAAGCUCCAUUCACAAAACUGCUUUGGGAGAUUGUUGCUUGGUAUGUGACUCUUCCAAUGAUCCAAUUAGUUUUUGUUCUAGUGCUUUAUUCAUUGCAAAUUCUUGCUGCUUAGGUGACCCUGUUCUUGAGCUUGCAUGUUAAAUUUAUGAGGUCCCAAGUAACUCUAAUGCAUGAUAUAGGCUCUAGGCACUUAUGGGAGUAGUUGCUAUCAAUCUUGUUUAGUUUGAUUCACUUUUAUUUUGAAGUUACUAAAAAUUUCAGAAAUUUUCAUAAAAAGAUGAAGAGGUUGUUCUUGAGGGGCUCUUCUAGCCAAAGCUCCAAGGAUAAGCAAGCUAAGGAGAAAGAAAAGGCCAAGUAUAAUCUUCCUCGUGUAGCGGAAGUGAGGCCUUGUGAGUGGCCAUGUGAUAAUUUCUUGAGAGCAGUCGAGAUUUAUGAAGACUUUUAUUCUUUGGCUGAAAAUGCGGGCCUCACCAACUUCCUCCACGACCGGAUCGGACAGUAUCUCUUACUUACCAAUACUUUCGUGCAAAACUUUUAUUAUUAUCCCAAGAAUUCACCUCCUUCGGUAUCUUUUCAUUUAUAUGAUGAGGCUAAGGAAAUGUCAUUACGUAAUUUUUGUGUAGUUUGUAGAAUACCCUUUGAGGGUAGCUUAGAUGAACCACAUCGUAAAGAUGUGGAUGGUUUCAUUGAUACUAUUACUAUAGGGGAAUCGAAGAAGGGUUCCGAUGCGAGAAUCACUAGCAUACUUUUUCCUGUUUUACGCUAUUUUGCCAUAUUUGCUAGUCGAUGCUUAAUUGGUCGUGGAAAUAGUGGAAACUUCAGUGUUCCUGAUAUUAUUAUUCUGCUCCAUGCCUUAUUCGGUGAUAACACUUUUAGUAUGGGUGCCGUUAUUGCUAAACGUUAAGCCUAAAUCAUACAAGGGGCCCAUCUUUGGAGGUAUCUAUGCUGCACGCGUUGCUAAACAUUUCGAGAUACCUAUUAGGCAUGAUGAGAAAGAGGAGACACUGCUGCCUCUUACCUUUUUAGAUUACAGGAGCAUGGUAGCGCAUGAGUUUAUUGUUGGCAAUGAUGAUAAGAUGCUUCUGUAUAACCUGAGAUUUAAUAAGAAACACAGUGAGAUUAUUACCCUGCCUGCACCUUCUUUGUUGAUUUAACUGCAGGCUAUUACCUUGUUUUGCCGGAGGCCGUUUACGCGCACCGAGGCCAGACAUCAGCCCCAAAGCCUGAGCCGGAACCACCACUGGACCCCUAUCGUCCAUCAUCUUAUCAGUGGGAUCCGGAGGAGAUCGCUAGCCAGUGGCAGUACAAUGACACUCCUCAGUACACCGGGGAGAGUAGCCGCGAUCCUUGGCCAUAGACCAACUUAGGCCAAAAGCCUAAGCUUUGGGGAGUACGUAUUCCUCACUGACUUUACAUUCAUGUUCACACACUCAUUCUAGUGUCGGUGCUCAUACUCUUUCAUUGUACUAUCCAUGCUAGUUUAUUUUAUUUUUCCUGCUUUCUUCUUGUGUGUUAGAUAAAACCUUAAGAAAACCCAAAAAAAAUUAGUUAGUUUAAUUUCCAUGCCUGUAGUAGUAAUAAUUAAAAGAAAAACUCAAAAAGAUUUCUCGUUCUUCCUUUUUGCUUGUUGGGAGCAUUCCCGUGUAAAUAGUUUUAUUUCUUUUCUUUUCCUUUGGGGAUCAAGAGUAGAAGGCUAUAAUGAAAAUGUCUAAGUGACUCUCAUAGGCAUAAUUGAUUUACUUUAACCAAGAGCCCAUAUUACCUUGUCUUCUCUCUUGAGUUGAAUGCUUGCAGAUUCCAGCUUAGUCCAAUGCACGUGCACUAUUAUUAUUAUACACAUCGUUCGGUCCUGCAAGUGAAAGGCAAUAAUGACGAUAUAUGAUGGACUGAUUGAGAUGAGAGAAGCUGGUAUGAACUCGACCUCUCUUGUUUUUGUUAAUAUGAUGAGUUCAUCGUUCCCGAUUCAGCUAUUAUGAAUAAACAUGUUUGCAAUGACAAUUAGAGAUUAUAGUUGCUUAUGCCAUUCUUAAUUAGUUAAGAGUUUAUAAUGGUUUACCUUGCGUGCCAACAUGCUAUUAAAAUAGUUGUGAUGUGGUAUGAUAGGGUGGUAUCCUCCUUUGAAUGAAUUGAGUGACUCGACUUGGCACAUGUUCACACAUGUAGUUGAAACAAAAAUCAACAUAGCCUUCACGAUAUUUAUGUUCAUGGUGGAUUAUAUCCUACUCAUGCUUGCACUCGGUGUUGAUUAAUUUUAAUGCAUGUUCAUGACUGUUGUCGCUCUCUUAGUUGGUCGCUUCCCAGUCUUUUGCUAGCCUUCACUUGUACUAAGUGGGAAUACUGCUUGUGCAUCCAAACUCCAUAAACCCAGAAGUUAUUCCAUAUGAGUCCACCAUACCUUCCAAUAUGCGGUAUCUACCUGCCGUUCCAAGUAAAUUUGUAUGUGCCAAACUCCAAACCUUCAAAUGAAAUUCUGUUUUGUAUGCUUGAGCAGCUCAUGUAUCAACUAGGGUUGUCUGUAUCUUCCAUGCUAGGUGGGUUAUUCUCAAGAGGAGUGGACUCUGCUCCUCAUUCACGAGAAAAUGGCUGGUAACCGGGAUGCCCAGUCCCAUGAUCAAAAAGAUCAAAGCAAAUCAAAAUAAUUAAACAAAACUCCCCCAGGAUUGUUGUUAGUUGGAGGCACCCGUUGUUUCGGGCAAGCGAUGGAUUGAUGAUUGUUGGUGGAGGGGGAGUAUAAAUUUUACCAUUUUGUUUGGGAACCGCGUAUAAUGUGUGUAGCAUGGAAGAUAUCGAGAUCUCAUAGUUGUUAUGUUGACAGUGAAAGUAUACCGCUCAAAAUGUUAUUUAUCUCUCUAUUUCAAAAUUGAGCUCCGGCACCUCAACAAAUCCCUGCUUCCCUCUGCAAAGGGCCUAUCUAUUUACUUUUAUGUUGAGUCAUCACCCUCUUAUUAAAAAGCACCCGCUAGAGAGCACACUAUCAUUUGCAUGCAUUACUAUUAGUUUAUAUCGGGUAUGACUUGACUGGAUCUCUUUUACCAUGAAUUACAAUGUAUAGUCAGUCCUUGAUCUUUAAAGGUGCUCUGCAUUUAUGUUUUGUGGUCUCAGAAAGGGCUAGCGAGAUACCAUCUUGUUAUAUCAUAUUAUGAUUGUUUUGAGAAAGUGUUGUCAUCUUAGAUUUAUUAUUAUUUGCUCGCUAGCUGAUUAUGCCAUUGAUAUCAGUAAAUAUGAGACCUAAGUGUUAUUGUGAAUAUGGUUAGUUCAUAAUCUUUGCUGAAAACUUGAAUGUUGGCUUUACAUAUUUACAACAACAAGAGCAAAUAGAGUUUGUAAAAGUUUUUCUUUAUCACUUUCAGUUUGUCAACUGAAUUGCUUGAGGACAAGCAAAGGUUUAAGCUUGGGGGAGUUGAUACGUCUCCAUCGUAUCUACUUUUCCAAAUACUUUUGCCCUUGUUUUGGACUCUAAUUUGCAUGAUUUGAAUGGAACUAACCCGGAUUGACGCUGCUUUCAGCAGAACUGCCAUGGUGUUAUUUUUGUGCAGAAAUAAAAGUUCUCGGAAUGACCUACAAAUUCACGGAGAUAACUUUUGGAAAAUAUAAAAAAUACUGGCGAAAGAAUCAAGGACAGGGGGCCCACACCCUGUCCACGAGGGUGGGGGGCGCGCCCCCUCCCCCUGGGUGCGCCCCCUUGAUGCUCCACCAACCUCGACUCCAAGUCCAUAUAUUCCGUUUCACGGAGAAAAAAAAUCAGAGUGAAAGUUUCAUUGCAUUUUAUGAUACGGAGCCGCCACCAAGCCCUAAUCUCUCUCGGGAGGGCUGAUCUAGAGUUCGUUCGGGGCUCGGAGAGGGGGAUUCGCCGCCGUCGUCAUCAUCAACCAUCCCCCAUCACCAAUUUCAUGAUGCUCACCGUCGUGCGUGAGUAAUUCCAUCGUAGGCUUGCUGGACGGUGAUGGGUUGGAUGAGAUUUACCAUGUAAUCAAGUUAGUUUUGUUAGGGUUUGAUCCCUAGUAUUCACUAUGUUCUGAGAUUGAUGUUGCUAUGAUUUUGCUCUGCUUAAUGCUUGUCACUAGGGCCCGAGUGUCAUGACAUCAGAUCUGAACCUAUUAUGUUUUCAUGAAUAUAUGUGAGUUCUUGAUCCUAUCUUGCAAGUCUAUAGUCACCUAUUAUGUGUUAUGAUCCGACAACCCCGAAGUGACAAUAAUCGGGAUACUUCUCGGUGAUGACCGUAGUUUGAGGAGUUCAUGUAUUCACUAUGUGUUAAUGCUUUGGUCCGGUACUCUAUUAAAAGGAGGCCUUAAUAUCCCUUAGUUUCCAUUAGGACCCCGCUGCCACGGGAGGGUAGGACAAAAGAUGUCAUGCAAGUUUUUUUCCAUAAGCACGUAUGACUAUAUUCGGAAUACAAGCCUAUAUUACAUUGAUGAACUGGAGCUAGUUCUGUGUCACCCUAUGUUAUAACUAUUACAUGAUGAAUUGCAUCCGACAUAAUUAUUCAUCACUAAUCCAAUGCCUACGAGCUUUUCACCUAUUGUGCUUUUCUUUUUUACAUUUCCGAUGCCACUGUUACAAUUACUACAAAACUCCUAUCGUUACUUUUGCCACUGUUACCAUCACUAUCAUACUACUUUGCUACUAAAUACUUUGUAGCAGAUACUAAGUCAUCUAGGUGUGGUUGAAUUGACAACUCAACUGCUAAUACUUGAGAAUAUUCUUUGGCUCCCCUUGUGUCAAAUCAAUAAGUUUGGGUUGAAUACUCUACCCUCGAAAACUGUUGCGAUCCCCUAUACUUGUGGGUUAUCAGCCCAUGAUGCGAAGCCGCCGAAUACGAAGAUCUGUCCGGGGAGGAAAACCUCACCCUGGAGUGCGUUGUUGUGGAUAAUUGAUGGAGCCAUCAAAACCUUCUGGUGACAACGCAGCGGAACUCUCAAUGAAAGCACCAAUGUCGGUGUCAAAACCGGCGGAUCUUGGGUAGGGGGUCCCGAACUGUGCGUCUAAGGUCGAUGGUAAUAGGAGGCGGGGGACACGAUGUUUACCCAAGUUCGGGCCCUCUCUAUCGAGGUAAUACCCUACUUCCUGCUAUAUUGAUCUUGAUGAUAUGAGUAUUACAAGAUUUGAUCUACCAUGAGAUUGUAAUGGCUAAACCCUAGAAGUCUAGCCUAUGAGGAUUGUCUAUCUAUCCCUACGGACUAAGCCCUCUGGUUUAUAUAGAUACUGGAGCGGACUAGGGUUAUACAGAGUCGGUUAUAGAGAAAGGAAUCUACAUAUCCGAUUGCCAAGAGGGAGCGCCCGAGGCGAAAACUAGGGUUAUACAGAGUCGGUUUAUAUAGAUUCCUUUCUCUAUGCUCACCGUCCCGAGGUGAAAACGGUAAACAUGAUCUACGUUACCCACAUCCCCAAGAGGGAGCGCAAACACGCAUUAAGGGAUGUCUACGCGGUAGAUCCUGUCGCCCCAAAAUUCAACCCGUGGUCGGCUUGUCCGAUCACCUUUGAUCACAGGGACCACCCAACCAGUAUCCGUCACAGAGGUUCGACAGACCUGGUACUCGAUCUUAUCAUCAAUGGAUACCAUCUCACUAGAGUCCUUAUGGACGAUGGCAGCAGUCUCAACUUGAUCUAUCAGGAUACUGUCCAUAAGUUGGGUAUCGACCCGUCAAGAAUCAAGCCCAGCAACACUACCUUCAAAGGAGUGAUACCCAGCGUGGAAUCCCGCUGUACGGGAUCAUUAACAUUGGAAGUAGUAUUUAGCUCUCCAGACAAUCUCCGAAGCGAAGAAUUGGUCUUCGACAUCGUCCCUUUUCGCAGAGGUUAUCAUGCACUGCUUGGAUGAACUAGUUUUGCUCGCUUUAAUGCAGUCCUGCACUAUGCUUAUCUAAAGCUCAAAAUGCCUGGACCUCGUGGCAUCAUCACAGCAAAUGGGAAUAUGGAGCGCUCCCUCUGUACUGAGGAACAUAUCACGGCCCUAGCAGCUGAAGUACAGGGCAGCCUCAUCAAACCGAACAACUCAUCGGCCAUCAAGACCCACGACACUACUAAAUGUGUUUGAGCCACGUUGCAAUGCGGUAGCUCGGUGGAACCUGAGCUCGAAUAGUAGUUUAGCCUCCGCCGAUUGCCCCAUAAGGUUGCGGUAUAUGUACCUCGCAUACACAAUUACACCCCUAAUAUACCUUGGGCAGCACCGGAGGCACACUGCAAAAAAGGUCUAUAGUACGGCUUGACCCUAUUCGGACCUCAAAUAUUCUUCCACUAUAGGUUCAUUAAAGAACCCAUCGGAUUUACGAUCGCACAGGGACCUUUUUUCUAGGUUCCUCUUUUUAACAGACGACCAUCGACUCCUCCCCUUCAAGGAUGUCUCACCAAGGAGAAACGGCGCAGAUGUGCAGCAAGGCAUCAUUGGGACUUUUAAACCAUUUAGUUUAGGCUCUGCGUAAACCUUUCCCUUGUAUAAGCUUCUGGCAUGUAAAAUGACCUCGACGUUUUUGGCAUUAUCUGUAACAACACGGCUCGACGUAUUAAUCAGGGUAUAAAGGAAACAGUUGAUCACCACUUUGUUGGGCAGUCAUUUUCAUUUCAUAUUACCAUCUGUGUUCCCUCCCUACCUCAGGCUGCCACACGUGCCUUAGUCCGGCCUUAACACCGGGGGUUGUAUUCGGCCCUGCCCAUUUCAAGUCCGAACACCUAUAGGGUACUCUUCGGCGUCCCGGAUAUUGCAUUAUAUGUAUCGGCCCUGAAUCAUGUCUUUGGUCUAUAGUUGGGUUGCCUGGCUCCUAUGCUUACUACCUUACGUUCCGCUUAUUCGGCUAAGGUAGUAAAGGGAGAACUACUACGAUUAUAUUUUUGGUUCGUCUGGUCAAGUACCUCAGUAGAGAAAGCCGAAAACUGACUAUCAUGAUAGGCAAGAGCUGGUCGGCGAUUCGGUGACUUAGUCUUAUACUAAAAAUAGUUAGUGAUUCACCCCGUGUUAUACGUGGGGCUGGUCUUCGUCCAGCCACGUGGGAAAGGCAUCGUAGUCCGGAUAGCCGCACACGCACCAGGGGCUAGUGCUUUGCUCCAUAGUCAAACUCCUAUGGCUAAGUGAAAGUAAUAAAGCCGCAUAGUCUGAUUGCCUAGUUCACCUCGUGGACACCUCCUUUACGGACCUAGACGUUGGAUAAAGUGUGGUCACACAUUAUGUCGAACACCCCUGUAGUACCUACAUGGGGGCUGAAGCCGACGACUAACAACAUUUAGAAAUAUAACAAAAAACAGCUGCACAGGAGGAAAAAUUGCUUGAGGCACAAACAUAAGAUAUAUAACAGCAUGGGUUCAUAACAUAGUUUGUACAACCCAAACACAUUCAAUCAAAUAUUACAUCCUUUGAACAUUGACCCUCUAUCACUCGGGCUCCUUCUAGGACGUCAUCGAGGUACCUCUCCCGCUUCCGAUGAUCUUUGCCCUCAGGCGGACCUACGGAUGCCACUUCUUGGCCUUCAUCUUCGCCCAUUGCAUCUUGACGCGGGCGAAGGCCAUCCUAGCACCCUCUAUGCAGGCCGAACGCUUUACAGCAUCAAUCCACGGCCGCGCAUUGACAAGCCACUUCACCAAACCAAAGUAGCUGCUGGGAAUAGGCUCGGUUGGGCAGAGUUGGAUUAUUAGAUCCUUCAUGGCCAAGUCAGCCACCCUAUGCAGCUCCGUCAGCUGCUUCAGCUGGUCGUUAAGAGGUGUCGGGUGCUCCGGCGCGAGAAAUUGCAACCAGAACAGCUUCUUGGUCGAGUUCCCCUCUUGGGCUCGGAAGAACUGUGCGGCAUCAGCAGCACUCCUCAGAAGAUCCACAAACGCAUCUAGAGAACUCCACACUCGGGUAAGCAAGGCAUACCUCUUACCUUCAAAGAUACUCUGCAAAUGAAAGGCCUUACCAGCCGCUAUCUGUUUCGCCUGAUGGAUCUCCUGGCGAGCACUUUGGGACUUGAUCCGCGCCUCUUUGAAAUCAUGGAGAGCCUUAGCAAGCUCGGACGACUGGUCCUAAGUAUUUUGCUCCAAGGUCUCGCAUUUGCUGAUGGCAUCCUUCAGCUCCUGCUCGACUUCGGCCACCCGAGCUGUUGGGAAACGUAGCAUGAAAUUUCAAAAAAAAAUCCCUACGCUCAUGCAAGAUCUAUCUAGGAGAUGCACAGCAACAAGAGGGGAAGAGUAUGUCCACGUACCCUCGUAGACCAAAAGCGGAAGCGUUUGACAACACGGUUGAUGUAGUCGAACUUCUUCUAGCUCCGACCGAUCAAGUACCAAACGUAUGGCACCUCCGAGUUCUGCACACAUUCAGCGCGAUGACGUCCCUCGCCCUCUUGAUCCAGCAAGGUGUCAAGGAAGUAGAUGAGUUCAGUCAUCAUGAGGGCAUGGUGAUGGUGAUGGUGAAUUGAUCCGCGCAGGGCUUCGCCUAAGAACUACAAAGAUAUGUCCGGAGGCGUAAACUUUGGAGGGGGGCACCGCACACGGCUAAGAUAAUGUCUAGGCUAUGUGUAGCGCCCUCCUGUAUAUAUAGGUGGGAGGGAGGGAAGCAGCCCUAGGGGCGCCCCAAGUAGGAGGGAUCCUACUUGGGCUCCUGCCCUAGGCCGGCGCCCCCUUUCCUUCUUUUGGCGAUGAGGGGAAGGAAGGAGGAGGUGGCACCCCCCUUUUCCUUUCUCCCACCAAGGGGGAAAGGCAAGAGGAGGUGGUGCCCCCUCCUUUCCUUCCUCUAGGGCCUGAGGCUAGGGAAAGGGGCGCACCAGCCCCUUGUGGGCUGGUCUGUCCCUCCCUCAUCCCAUUAAGCCCAUAUCUUUGCCGGGGUUGCCCGAAACUCCUUUCUAGUGACCCGAUAUGUACCUGGUACCCUCCGGAACACUUCCGGUGUCCGAAUACUAUCGUCCUAUAUAUCAAUCUUUACUUCUUGAUCAUUUCGAGACUCCUCGUCAUGUCCGUGAUCUCAUCUGGGACUCCGAACAACAUUUGGUCACAAAAUCACAUAACUCAUAUAUUACAAUAUUGUCAUUGAACGUUAAGCGUUCGGACCUUAUGGGUUUGAGAACUAUGUAGACAUGAACGACACAUCUCCGGUCAAUAACCAAUAGCGGAACCUGGAUGCUCAUAUUGGCUCCCAUAUAUAUUCUACGAAGAUCUUUAUCGGUCGAAUCGUUAUGACAACAUACAUUAUUCCCUUUGUCCAUCGGUAUGUUACUUGCUCGAGAUUCGAUCGUCAGUAUCUUCAUACCUAGUUCAAUCUCAUUACCGGCAAGUCUCUUUACUCAUUCCAUAAUACAUCAUCUUGAAACUAACUCAUUAGUCACUUUGCUUGCAAGGCUUCUUAUGAUGUGUAUUACCGAGAGGGCCCAAAGAUACCUCUCGGAUACUUAGAGUGACAAAGCCUAAUCUCGAUCUAUGCCAACCCAACAAACACCUUCGAAGAUACAUGUAGAGAAUCUCUAUAAUCACCCAGUUAUGUUGUGAUGUUUGAUAGCACAAAAGGCAUUCCUCCGGUAUCCGGGAGUUGCAUAAUCUAAUUAUUAAAGGAGUAUGUAUUUAACAUGAAGAAAUCAAUAGCAAUAAAACUGAACGAUCAUUAUGCUAAGCUAACGGAUGGGUAUUGUCCAUCACAUCAUUCUCCUAAUGAUGCAAUCCUGUUCAUCAAAUGACAACACAUGUCUAUGGUUAGGAAACUUAACCAUCUUUGAUUAAUGAGCUAGUCCGGUAGAGGCUUACUAGGGGCACGGUGUUUUGUCUAUGUAUCCACACAUGUAUCAAGUUUCCGGUUAAUACAAUUCUAGCAUGAAUAAUAAACAUUUAUCAUGAAAUAAGGAAAUAUGAAAUAACAACUUUAUUAUUGCCUCUAGGGCAUAUUUCCUUCACGAGCUUCAUGUUGGCGGCGGGCAGCUUGCUCGGUCUUCAGCUCUGCAGCCGCUUUGUUAGCGGCUGCCUUAUUCACCUCCGCCUCUUUCUUGGCCUGGGCGAGGGCACCUUUGAGGGUCUCGACCUCGGUUGUGCCAACUGUGCUCAUAAUCAAAGCAUUUUAUAACCUCUCAAUAUGCAUAUCACUUCUGAUAUAAAAGUACAUUCCUUCUUAAACAUUGCAUGCACACCUUGCGUCUCGUUGAACCGCUUAUUUAUGCGGUCAAGUUCCUCAUCUGCCGCAUGAAGCUUCCAACUGAGUUCGGAAACUUCCGCGGCAUGGGCGAUUGCCGCCAACAUGGAAGCCUGUUACAAUAACAACACAACAUGUUACUCUCCCGAAUACUAUGUGGACCCUCUGUCCGGUUUCUUUUAAACCGGACAGAGCCUAAGGGGCUAUUGUCUCUACACAGGUUUAUUCCUUUAUAUGGAAAGUUUUUAGGUACAUUACAUUGCAUACCUCAAAGCCUAUUAAUAGGCCGCAGAAGACUUCAUUCAGUCUGUUUUUAGCAGACUGAACCUUCUCCAUAAGCACACCCAUUAGGGUGCGGUGCUCCUCCAUGACGGAAACACUUUGCAGUACUUCCUCUAGAGCGUUGGGUGCCUCCGGAUUAAUGGAGGCUGCCGUGGGAGCUGGUGCUCCUUCCCCCUCUUUUGUAGGGGGUUGCUUAUCCGAUCCCGGAGCCUUGCUGGUCUCCGGAAUGGUGUUCGGCUAGGGCCCGGAUUGUUGUGGGUCCCCACCAUCGGUUAGGGUCGCCUCCCCUAGGUCUCUGGCAACAGAGGUAUCAACCGCGGGCGCUCUCUCGACAGCCUCGUUCGCCCCCCUCGGCUAGGAGAAGUCCUUCGGGAUGACACUUCGGUGUCCUCCAUGGCAAUAGGCAAGGAGGCUCGUGGCAGCGUGUUGCUCUCCACCAUUUCGGGCGGCAGAGAAUUCCCCUCCGAUAAUGAAGUUUGCGGGAGCACGUAGGGAGGGCUGAAAGACAAAUAACAAAAUAAAUUAUAUAAUGGAAGCAGGUAGACCAAAGAUAAAUAUUAAGUUUCUGAAUACUUAUGAUAUGGCCCGGGGCUUCACCCUGGGAGGUUUCUUGGGGACUAGUCCAGACUCUAAGUCUGGAUUGUCCGAGAGGGUAAGAUUCCCUCUUUUGGGCGCCUCCCCCUCCGGGUCUUUGGAGGCCGCCCUCUUCUUCUUCCUCCCCUUAUGGCGGGAGUCGCUUUCCACCUCAUCCUCCUCUUCUCCUCAUCUCCCUCAUGGGAAGAGAGGGCUUGGGUCCCUCCGGACACUGUUUUUGAAGGACCUUUGUCGCGAGGGUCGCUCUUGGCCUUCUUGCCUUUCUUCUUCUUGGUUUUCUUCUCCGGCGCCUGGUAGGGCGCCGGGACCAACAUCUCCGUCAGCUGGGGUGUGGUCGGGUUCUCAAGUAGCGGUGCCGAACAGUUGAUCCGCUCCGCCUUUGCCGUCCAACCCUGUAUAGAAAGUAGGCAACAUAACCUUUAUUACAUCCGAAAUAUUGACCGGAUAGGUAUUUGGAAAGAUUGUGCUUACAGCCGUGGCCGGGUUCUCGAUGUCGAGCCCGAUGUCUUCAGUCUUCUUUGAUCACUUUUUCUGAGCCUUGAAGAGUUGCUUCCAUAUAUCUUCAUGCGUAGUGCGGAACAAGCACUUUAGGGUCCGUGGCUCCUCCGGAUUGAACUCCCACAUGGGGGAGGACCGGAGUUGGUAGGGAAGGGUGCGGCGGAAGAGCAUCACUUGAAUCACGUUGGUGAGACCGGUGUUUGCACCCAACAUGUUGGAGAUGCGUUUCUGUAGCAUCUGCACAUCUGAUUUGGACCCUCAAUCAAGGCCCUUGGCGGUCCAUGAGGCGAGUCUCGUGGAGGGUACGGAUCUAAAAUCAGGCAUGGCUACCCAUUUGGCGUCGCGAGGUUCGGUGAUGUAGAACCACUCCUGCCGCCAUACCUUGACUGUCUCUAUAAAUGCCCUUUCGGGCCAGACGAAGUUGGGGAUCUUCCUUACCAUAGCCCCAGCGCAAUCCGCAUGUUGUCCGUCGACCACCUUCGGCUUCAGAUUGAAGACCUUGAGCCACAUGCCGAAGUGUGGGGGGAUGCAGAGAAGAGCCUCACACACGACUAUGAAAGCUGAUAUGUGGAGAAAGGAAUUUGGGGCUAGAUCAUGGAAAUCUAGCCCGUAGUAAAACACGAGACCCCAAACGAAGGGGUGGAGGGGAAAUCCUAGCCCCCGAAAGAAGUGGGGGAUGAACACAACCCUCUCACCCAACUCCGGAGUAGGAAUAACAUGAUCUUCGUCAGGGAUCCUAUGCACGAAAUCCGUGACAGAUAGCCCGCGCUCCGGAGAUCCUUGACGUCCUUUUCACUGAUGGAGGAGGCGGCGGCGGAAGAGGUCAGAGUUGUGGGCGCUAGAGUUUGGAGAUUGGGAUAAGGAAGCUAGAGGAAGGCGUGAAGAAAAUGGAGGGAUCUUUAUCCUCUUAUAGACGGUGAAAAUACCAAACGUCCCCCUCUCAAGCCAUAAACCUCGCAUGUUCCCAAUGAGAUCGUGCGUAAGGCAUGAUUGGAUUAACCAAACCAUAUUGAUGAGAAUCCCGUAAUGAGCGGGCAUGAUCUCUAUUUUGACGGGACGUGCCAAUGGAGGCUAGACCUCGAAACAAGAAAUGGGAGGCGUGAAAACGGUUCGAAAUGUUAAAGCAUUAAGUGUGACAUUUCACCAAAAAAGUUGUCAGUAAAGAGACAUUGUUCCUAUUCUGACGUCUUGCCUUCGUGGAUGAGGGUUGUAUUGAUUAUGUACAGUCGGACAUCUCUUUUAUGUAGGAACCUAGCUUAAAAUAUUCAGGAGAAGGAACCCGCCUUGCAAUGCUGAAGAUAAUCCGCGUGCCGAACACAUCGUCAUUGAAGACUGGUUCAGGGGCUAGUGAGGGGUCCUGGAUUAGGGGGUCCUCGGGUGUCCGGUCUAGUCGAUAUGGGCUGGCUGAUGGGUCGUGAAGAUAAAACAGAAGACUAUCCCCCGUGUCUAGGUAGGACUCCUAUAUGCGUGGACGGCAAGCUUGGUGUCCGGAUGUACUAUUUCCUUCCUCUGCAAACUGAUUCUGUACAACCCUAGGCCCCUCAGGUGUGUAUAUAAAGCGGAGGCUUUAGACCAUAGAGGCUAUCAAAAUAAUCAUAGGCUAGAUAGCUAGGGUUUAGCCAUUACGAUCUCGAGGUAGAUCAACUCUUGUAACCCCUAUACUCCUCGAAUACAAUCAAGCAGGACCUAGGGUUUUACUUCCUUUAAGAGGGCCCAAACCUGGGUAAACAUCAUGUCCCUAUUGUCUCCUUGUUACCAUCGAUCCUUAGACACGCAACUUGGGACCCCCUACCCGCGAUCUGCCUGUUAUAACACCGACAGUGGGGAAAGUGGGGACGUGAUGCCUCAAUCCUCGCCCUAGAAAUCUGCCACAUGCCGCGUUUUUCCUGCGCAUAGGACCGCUGCGGAUGCCGUUGAUCCAGCGAUUCACGACUGAGAAUCCACCAUGUGCUUCUUCCCCGUGGUAUAAAAGAUUUGUCUGCUAGGGUAAUUCCCAUAUCCCCUUUCUCUUUUGCCCACUCUGCACCUUGCCUUCUCUGCUCCAAUAAUCGGCGCUCAUGAGCACUCGAGAAGAUGGGAAAGGAUUCCAUCUCCAAGCUAGAGAAGGCGAAGAAGGUGGGGAGCCGCAUCGUCGAGCUCUGGUCCAUCUGUGGUACGCCCCUCGGGGGAUUGGAUCCCCUCGCGCGUCUCGACGAGGCGAUUGGAGGAUCUCUCCAAGGAGGCACUCAUUCCGGCAGAGAGACGGAGGUGGCCGGAGGCGGGUAAGGUCUAGUCGGUGCUGUAGGGGGGCGAACGCGUCCCCCUCGUCACCCACAUUGAGCGAGGUUUCUUGAUGCCACUCACCCUUUCUUUCAUGCAUUCUUGGAUUACUCUGGGGUGCAGCUCCACCAUCUUCCUCUGAAUGCCUUCGUUUUCUCUGUGUGCGAACUUCAUCGGCUGUCACCCGCACUGGGGAUUGCUUAAGCACAUCUUCACAUGUUAGUCAAUGACCAUGAAGAAGGACUCGCCGAAGGGCGAGGAGACCCAUGUGACCCAGUUGUGCGGAGGUUUGGGGAUCCAGCUUAGAGGUGGCAGCACCUUCCCAAAGUUGAGCUUUCCCGACUCCGUUAAGGGGCAGUAGGGCAUAGGGUUUUACUGCCAGGAUGUUCCGAGGGUAGGCAACCAGUCGGGCCUUCCACCAUACUCGGCGGAGAGGGUGGGGGCCCCGUUCCCUCACGGUAUCGAAGAAGGAGAAGGUGGAUGUAGGCAUCCUGACCAACGCUAUGGUCGGGGUCGUGAAUGUCGGGGUCUUCCUGAAGCCACGCCGAAUCAUCGGUGACAAAGUUGAGCGCUCUGAAAUGGAUCUCGAGGCCAAAAAUCAUGAUGAUGAUGAAGAAUUCCACCUGCAUCGGAUAAUCGCUAGAUGCGCGGCCCCAUGGUGGGUGCCAACUGUCGGGGUUACAAUCCUGAAAAUGAGUACUAUGGGUACGAACAAGGGGCGGAGCCUAGCUACGACGCAAGUGUAUCACUCAGUUUUUACAAGUUCAGGUCCCUCUCGGAGAAGAUAAAAACCCUACAUCUCGUGCCCGGAGGCUUGUUUUCUCUGGGGUGUAUGAUUACAAUGGAUGUUGAACCCUUGCCAUGGAGCUGGCAGGCGACUUAUAUAGAGUGUGCCUCGGCCUCAUUACUGCCAUGUGAUAACCCACAAGUAUAGGGGAUCGCAAUAGUUUUCGAGGGUAGAGUAUUCAACCCAAAUUUAUAGAUGCGACACAAGGGGAGCCAAAGAAUAUUUGCAAGUAUUAACAGCUGAGUUGUCAAUUCAACCACACCUGGAGAUUAGUUAUCUGGAGCAACAUGAUCAAUAGCAAAGUAGUAUGAUAGUUUUGAUAGUAGUAGCAACAGUAACGGUAAUAGUGAUAGCAAUGGUUUGGUAGCAAGUGCAAUAGUGACAAUAGCAAUAGUAACUUAGCAAGAACAAUAAGUAGGAAAAUCGUAGGCAUUGGAUCGGCGAUUUGUUGGAUGAUAUUCAUCAUGAGACAAUCGUAACCUAGGGCAAUACGACACUAGCUCUAGUUCAUAAAUAUAAUGUAGGCAUGUAUUCCGUAAAUAGUCAUACGUGCUUAUGGAAAGAACUUGCAUGACAUCUUUUGUCCUACCCUCCCGUGCCAGCGGGGUCCUAUUGGAAACUAAGGGAUAUUAAUGCCUCCUUUUAAUAGAGAACGGGAACAAAGCAUUAGCACAUGGUGAAUACAUGAACUCCUCACACUACGAUCAUGACUAGGAGUGGUCCCGACUAUUGUCACUCUCGGGUUGCCAGAUCAUAACACGUAGUAGGUGACUAUAACUUGCAAGAUCGGAUCUAGAACAUGGAUAUAAUGGUGAUAACAUAAACGGUUCAGAUCUGAAAUCAUGGCACCCAAGCCCAAAGUGACAAGCAUUAAGCAUGGCAAGGUCAUAGCAACAUCAAUCUCAAAACAUAAUGGAUACUAGGGAUCAGGCCCUAACGAAACUAACUCGAUUACAUGAUGUAUCUCAUCCAACUCCUCACCGACCAGCGAGCCUACGAAGGAAUUACUCACUCCCGGUGGGGAGCAUCAUGGAAUUGGUGAUGGAGAAGGGUUGGUGAUGACGAAGAUCGAAGAUCCCCCUCUCUAGAGUCCCAAACGGUCUCCGGAUCUGGCCUCCCGAUGAAGAACAGGAGAUGGCGGCGGCUCCGUCUCGUGAAAAGCGAUAAUUCUUUCUCCUUGAUUUUUUCUGGAAAAAUAGGAUUUUAUAGCAUCGGUUUUAGGGUCUGCGGGUCCACUAGGUGGGGACAACCCACUUGGGCGUGCCUGGAGGGGGUGGCACGCCCUGGUGGGUUGUGCCCACCUAGGUGCCCCCCUCGGGUGGUUCUUGGCUCCAGAAAUUUUCUUUUAUUGUAUAAAAAUUCUCGCAAAGUUUUGUUCCAUUUCGAGAACUUUUAUUUCUGCACAAAAACAACACCAUGGUAGUUCUGCUGAAAACAGCGUCAGUCCGGGUUAGUUUCAUUCAAAUCAUGAAAAUUAGAGUCCAAAACAAGAGGAAAAGCGUUAGGAAAAGUAGAUAUGACGGAGACGUAUCAACUCCCCCAAGCUUAAUCCUUUGCUUGUCCUCAAGCAAUUCAGUUGAUAAACUAAAAGUGAAAAAGAAAAACUUUUACGAACUCUUUUUCUCUUGUUUCCAUAAAUAAGCUGAAACAACACCCAGGUUUUCAGCAAAGAUUAUAACUAACCAUGUCGACAAUAACUCUUAAAAAUUAUAUUAACUCAUAUCAAUGACAUAAUCAACUAGCGAGCAAUAAUAAGGCAUCUCUAAUAGCAAAACAUUGUUAAAACAACCAUGAUACAAUAUGACAAUAGUGGUAUCUCGCUAGCCCUUUCUGAGACCGCAAAACAUAAAUGCAGAGCACCUCCAAAGUUCAAGCAGCGACUAAACAUUGUAAUUCUUGGUAGAAAAGAUCCAGUCAUGAUGCACCCAACAUUAGCUACACACAAUCCAUCAGCAUGACAGUAGUGCUCUCAGGUUCUGGCGCUUAUUUGGGAAGGUGAUGACACGACAUAAAAGUAAAUAGAUAGUCCCUUCGCAGAGGGAAGCAGUGAUUUGCAGAGGUGCCAGAGCUCAAGUUUGUAAAACAGAGGUAAAUGAAAUUUUGAGGCAUGCACCCUUCUUGUUUACUUCGCGACCAUUAGUUAUCAAUAUAUUCCAUGCUAAACACAUUAGUAGCGGUUUCCAAGCGAUAAAGUAAAGGUUAUUGCUCCAUAGAAGUUUUUGUUUGCUUACUUAUAAGUUUUUUUUUGCAAUUUGGCACUGGGCAUCCCUAUUAUCGCCCUUUUCUCGUGCGAUGGCGAGUGAAUAAACACUCGACCUAAGAAGAACCCGCUUAGCAUGGAAGAUACCGACUACCUCAUGUCAUUCCAUGAAUGAUCCAGACACACAAAAAGGAUAUUUAUUUGAAGCUUUUAGAGAUGGCAUAUGCAAAUUUACUUAGGACGGCAGGGUAAUACCACAUAUAGGUAGGUAUGGUGGACUCAUCUGGAAUAACUUGGGUUUCAGGUUUUCGAUGUACAAGCAGAGUUCCCACUUAGUACAGGGCUACAGGCAAAGGCUAGCAAAUAGGUUGAGAAGCGUCCAGCUAGAGAGCAACAACGGUCAUGAACAUGCGUUAUGCAUAAGUAACACUGGAUAGUAGCAUGAGUAGGAUAUGAACACCAUGAACAUAAAUAUCAUAGAGGCUAUGUUGGUUUUGAUUCAACUACAUGCAUGAACAUGUGCCAAGUCAAGCCACUCGAACAUUCAGAGGAGGAUACCAUAUCAUCAUACUACAUCACAAUCAUUUUAACGCAAUGUUGACAUCCAAGAUAAAUCAUUAUCCACUCCUGGCUACUUAUGCAAGCCAUGAGAAACUAUAAUCUCUAAAUGUCAUUGCAAACAUGUUUGAUCAUAAUAGGUUGAAUCAUGGAUACUAGGUUAAACAUAUUUACAAAAAUAGAACAAGUCGAGUUCAUACCCGUUUCUCUCUGCCACGACCAGUUCAUCGAAUAUCGUCAUUAUUGCCUUUCACUUGCAUGACCGAACGAUUUGAAAAUAAUAAUAGUGCAAGGUGUCAUGGACUAAGCUGGAAUCUGCAAACAUUUUAUUCAAAAGGGGAAGACAAGGUAAUAUGGGCUCUUCGUUAGAUCAACAAUAAUUCAAAUGAGAGCCACUCAACAUUUUCAUCGUGGUCUUCUCCUCGGUAUGACUCAAUAAAAAGAAAAGAAAUUCAGAGAAACACACUGUUUUUUUUGGAGUUUUUGGUUUUUCGCAAACAAGCAAAUAAAAAGGGAAAAGCAAAAAUGAGAAAAACUAUUUACAUGGGACAGCUCCCAACAAAUAAAAGAAGAACAAGGAAAUGUUUUCGGGUUUCUUUUUAGUGCUACAACAAUUUAAACUUGGAAGAAAAAUCAAAAAUAAGCAAGAAAUAUGUUUUUUGAUUUUCUCAAAGUUUUUCAAACACACAAGAAGAAAGCGAGAAAAUAAAUAUAAAAAUGGAUAAUACAAUGGAAAAGUGUGAACACCGACAACUGGAAUGAAAUGUGUGAACAUGAAUGUAAUGUCCAUGGGAAUAUGAUACGUCCAUUUUGCAUCAUGUUUACCUACUGUUAUUUAUGUUGUUUUAUUGCAUAAUAAUGCUUUUUGGAGUAAUUCUAAUGCCUUUUCUCUCAUAAUAUGCAAGGUACACACAAAAGGGGAGAAUUCUGGCACCUAGAAAUCUGGACCUAAAAAAGCUACGUCAGUCUACCUAUUCUGCACAAUUCCAAAUGAGCUGAAACUUCACAAGGAUUUAUGGAAUAAAUGAGAAUUUUUGGAGUCAAUAAGUACCAGAGGGGGGCCACCAGGUGGGCACAACCCACCUGGGCGCGCCCCGAUGGGUUGUGCUCAUCCAGGCCCACCUCCGGUGCUCCUCUUCUGGUACAUCAGUCAUUUUGACCUAUAAAAAAAUAAGGAGAGGACUUUCGGGACGAAGCGCUGCCGUCUCGAGGCGGAACCUGGGCAGGAGCACUUUUGCCCUCUGGCGGAGCAAUUCCGUCGGGGGAACUUCCCUCCCGAAGGGGCAAAUCAUCGUCAUCAUCAUCACCAACAACUCUCCCAUCUUGGGGAGGGCUAUCUCCAUCAACAUCUUCAACAACAUUAACUCCUCUCAAAUCCUAGUUCAUCUCUUGUGUUCAAUCUUUGUACCGAAACUAUAGAUUGGUGCUUGUGGGUGACUAGUAGUGUUGAUUACAUCUUGUAGUUGAUUACUAUAUGGUUUAUUUGGUGGAAGAUUAUAUGUUCAGAUCCAUUAUGCUAUUUAAUACCCAUCUGGUCUUGGGCAUGAUUAUCAUUUAUGAGUAGUUACUUUUGUUCUUGAGGUCACGGGAGAAAUCAUGUUGCAAGUAAUCAUGUGAACUUGAUAUGUGUUUGAUAUUUUGAUGAUAUGUAUGUUGUGAUUACCUUAGUGGUGUCAUGUGAACGUCGACUAUGUGACACUUCACCAUAUUUGGGCCUAAGGGAAUGCAUUAUGGAGUAGUUAUUAGAUGAUGGGUUGUGAGAGUGACAGAAGCUUAAACCCUAGUUUAUGCACUAUUCCAUAAGGGACCGAUUGGAUCCAAAAGUUUAAUGCUAUGGUUAGAAUUUAUUCUUAAUACUUUUAUCGUAGUUGCGGAUGCUUGCGAGGGGGUUAAUCAUAAGUAGGGGGUUUGUUCAAUUAAGAACAACACCUAAGCACCGGUUCACCCACAUACCAAGUUAUCAAAGUAGCAAACACGAAUUGAACCAACAUGAUGAAAGUGACUAGAUGAAAUUCUCGUGUACCCUCAAGACCACUUUGCUUAUCAUAAGAUACCAUUUUGUCCCAUCCUUUGCCUCAAAAGGAUUAGGCUACCUUGCUGCACUUUUGUUACCAUUACCGUUACUUGCUUGUUACAAAUUACCUUGCUAUCAAACUACUCUAUUACUUACAAUUUCAGCACUUGCAGACAUUACCUUGCUGAAAACCACUUGCCAUUUCCUUCUUCUCCUCGUUGGGUUCGACACUCUAACUUAUCUAAAAGGGCUACAAUUGAUCCCUUAUACUUGUGGGUCAUCAAGGCUAUUUUCUGGUGUCGUUGCCGGGGAGUGAAGCGCUCUUGGUAAGUGGAAAUAGGUAAGGAAACAUUAUUACUACGUGCUGAAAUUUAUUAUCACUUGAUACUAUGGAAAACAAUCCUUUGAGGGGUUUGUUCGGGGUAUCUUCACCUCAACCGAAACCGCAAUUUGAUUCCCCUCAACCUACUGCACCUGCUGAAAAUAUUAAAUAUGAAAUUCCUUCGGGUAUGGUAGAACAACUGCUAGCUAAUCCUUAUGCAGGAGAUGGAACUGAACAUCCUGAUAUGCACUUGAUAUAUGUGGAUGAAAUUUGUGGAUUGUUUAAGCUUGCAGGUUUGCCCAGAGAUGAAGCUAAGAAUAAGGUUUUCACUUUAUCUUUGAAGGGAAAUGCAUUGACAUGGUAUAGGCUCGAUGAUAUUGGAUCUUGGAACUAGAAUUGGUUGAAAUGGAAUUCCAUCAAAAAAUUAUCCUAUGCAUCUAGUUCAUCAUGAUCGGAAUUAUAUAUAUAAUUUUUGGACUCGUGAAGGAGAAAGUAUUGCUCUAACUUGGGGGAGGCUUAAGUCAAUGUUAUAUUCAUGCCCCAAUCAUGAGCUCUCAAGAGAAAUUAUUAUUCAGAACUUUUAUGCUCGGCUUUCUCAUAAUGAUCAAUCCAUGCUCGAUACUUCUUGUAUUGGUUCUUUUAUGAAGAAGACUAUUGAAUUCCGGUAGGAUCUUUUAGAAAGAAUUAAACAAAACUCUGAAGAUUGGGAAAUCGACGAAGGUAAAGAGUCAGGUAUUGAGCCUAAGUUUGAUUGUGUUAAAUCUUUUAUGAAUACUGAUGCUUUUCAAAAGUUUAGCACUAAAUAUGGACUUGACUCUGAGAUAGUAGCUUCCUUUUGUGAAUCUUUUGCUACUCAUGUUGAUCUCCCUAAGGAGAAGUUGUUUAAAUACCACCCACCUAUUAAAUAAGAAAUUAAAGAACCGGUAAAAGCUAAAGAAGAAACUAUCAUUUACAAUGUUGAUCCACUUGUUCCCAUUGCUUAUAUUGAAAAACCACCUUUCCCUAUUAGGAUGAAGGAACAUGCUAAAGUUUCAACUGUGGUCAACAAAAGUUAUAUUAGAACACCCAAACCAGCUAAACAAAUCAGAGUUGAACCUAGUGUUGCUAUGGUUAAAGAUCUCUUGGUCGAUAAUAUUGAUGGGCAUGUUAUUUACUUCUGUGCUGAAGCUGCUCGAAUUGCCAAACCCGAUGAAAAAGAUAAACAUAGACCAGUUGUUGGCAUGCAUGUUGUCUUAGUUAAGAUAGGAGAUCACUGUUAUCAUGGUUUAUGUGACUUAGGUGCUAGCGUGAGUGCUAUUCUUUUUUUCUUAUAUCAAGAAAUUAUGAAUGAUAUAGCACCCGCUGAAAUAGAAGACAUAGAUGUUACUAUUAAGCUCGCCAAUAGAGAUACUAUAUCACCAAUUAGGAUUGUUAGAGAUGUUGAAGUCUUGUGUGGGAAAAUAAAUGCCCUACCUAUUUUAUUGUUCUUGGUUCCCCACAAGAUGACUUUUGUCUCAUUAUCUUUGGUAGACCUCUUGAACACCGUUAAUGCUAAAAUAGAUUGUGAGAAACAAACUAUCGGUGUUAGCUUUAGUGAUGAAUCUCAUGAGUUUAAUUUUUCUAAGUUUAGUAGAAAACCGCAUAAGAAACAUUUCCCUAGUAAGGAUGAGAUUAUUGGUCUUGCUUCUAUUGUUGUACCUCCUACUGAUCCUUUAGAACAAUAUUUGCUAGACCAUGAAAAUGAUUUUCAUAUGCAUGAAAUAAAUGAAAUAGAUAGAAUCUUGUCCGAACAACAACUUCUGCUUAAACACAAUCUGCAUAUUGAAACUCUAGGAGGUCCUCCUCCACCUAAAGGUGAUCUUGUGUUUGAAUUAAAACAAUUGCCAGACACUUUGAAAUAUGCUUAUCUUGAUGAAAAAAAGAUAUAUCCUUUUAUUAUUAGUGCUAACCUUUCAGGACAUGAAGAAGAAAGAUUAUUGAAAGUUCUAAGGAAGCACCAAGCUGCUAUUGGAUAUACUCUUGAUGAUCUUAAGGGCAUUAGUCCCACUCUAUGUUAGCACAAGAUUAAUAUGGAACCUGAUGCUAAACCCAUUGUUGAUCACCAACAUCGGUUAAAUCCGAAGAUGAAAGAACUGGUAAGAACAGAAAUAUUGAAACUUCUAGAAGCAGGUAUAAUCUAUCCUAUAGCUGAUAGUAGAUGGGUAAGUCUUGUUCAUUAUGUCCCUAAUAAGGGAGGUAUAACUAUUGUUCCUAAUGAUAAAAAUAAACAUAUUCCACAAAGAAUUGUCACCGGCUAUAGAAUGGUAAUUGAUUAUAGAAAAUUAAACAAAGCAACAAGAAAAGAUCAUUACCCUCUGCCUUUUAUUGAUCAAAUGCUAGAAAGAUUAUCUAAGAACACACAUUUUUGCUUCCUUGAUGGAUAUUCUGUUUUUUCACAAAUACUUGUUUCUCAACCUGAUCAAGAAAAGACCACUUUCACUUGUCCUUUUGGAACUUAUGCUUAUAGACAUAUGUCUUGUGGUCUAUGUAAUGCACCUGCUACCUUUCAAAGAUGUAUGACUGCUAUAUUCUCUGACUUUUGUGAAAAGAUUGUUGAGGUUUUCAUGGAUGACUUUUCUGUUUAUGGGAAGCCUUUUGAUGAUUGUUUAAGCAUCUUGAUCGAGUUUUGCAGAGAUGUGAGCAAACAAAUCUUGUCUUAAAUUGGGAGAAGUUCCACUUCAUGGUUAAGGAAUGUAUUGUUUUGGGCCAUAAAAUUUCUAAGAGAGGUAUUGAGGUGGACAAAGCCAGGGUUGAUGCAAUUGAGAAAAUGCCAUGUCCUAAGGAUAUCAAAGGUAUUCGUAGUUUCCUUGGUCAUGUUGGUUUCUAUAGGAGAUUUAUCAAAGAGUUUUCUAAAAUUUCUAGGCCUCUUAAAAAUGUUAUGCAAAAGGAUAUUCCUUUUGUUUUUUAUGAUGAUUGUUUGGAAGCCUUCAAAACACUCAAGAAAGCCUUAAUUUCUGCACCUGCUGUUCAACCAGCUGAUUGGAACUUGCCUUUUGAGAUUAUGUGUGAUGCUAGCGAUUAUGUUUUUGGUGUUGUUCUAGGAUAAAGAGUUGAUAAGAAAUUAAAUGUUAUCCAAUAUGCUAGUAAAAAUCUAGACAGUGCUCAACGAAAUUAUGCUGCUACUGGAAAAGAAUUCUUAGUAGUGGUGUUUGCUUGCGAUAAAUUUAGAUCCUACAUUGUUGAUUCCAAAGUGAUUGUUCACACCGACCGUGCUGCUAUAAAAUAUCUUAUGGAAAAGAAAGAUGCUAAACCUAGAAUCAUUAGGUGGGUUCUUCUACUACAAGAAUUUGAUUUGCAUAUCACUGAUAGAAAAGGAUCAAAGAACCUCGUAGCUGAUAACCUGUCUAGGCUUGAAAAUAUUCUUGAUGACCCACAACCUAUUAAUGAUAGCUUUCCUGAUGAACAGUUAGCUGCAUUAAAUGUUUAUAAUAGUACACCUUGGUAUGCUGACUAUGCUAAUUAUAUUGUUGCUCAAUACAUACCACCUAGCUUUACAUACCAACAAAAGAAAAAAUUCUUCUAUGAUUUAAGACAUUAAUUUUGGGAUGACCCACAUAUUUAUAAAGAAGGAGUAGAUGGUAUUAUUAGAUGUUGUGUACCUGAGCAUGAACAAGAACAAAUCCUACGGAAAUGUCACUCUGAAGCUUAUGGAGGACAUCAUGUGAGAGAUAGAUCCGCUCAUAAGGUAUUGCAAUCUGGGUUUUAUUGGCCUACUCUCUUCAAGUAUGCCCGUAAGUUCGUCUUGUCUUGUGAUUAGUGUCAAAGAAUAGGUAAUAUCGGUAAGUGUAAAGAAAUGCCUAUGAAUUAUUCACUUGUUGUUGAACCAUUUGAUGUUUGGGGAUUUGAUUUCAUGGGACCUUUUCCUUCCUCUAAUGGGUAUACUCAUAUUUUGGUUGCUGUUGAUUAUGUUACUAAGUGGGUAGAAGCUAUUCCAACUAGUAGUGCCAAUCACAACACCUAUAUUAAAAUGCUCAAGGAAGUUAUUUUCCCAAGGUUUGGAGUCCCUAGAUAUUUAAUGACUGAUGGUGGUUCACACUUUAUUCAUGGCGCUUUCCGAAAAAUGCUUGCCAAGUAUGAUGUUAAGCAUAGAAUUGCAUCACCCUAUCAUCCUCAGUCUAGUGGUCAAGUUGAACUUAGCAAUAGACAAAUAAAAGUAAUCCUACAAAAGACUAUCAAUAGGUCCCGAAAGAAUUGGUCUAAGAAACUAGAUGAUGCACUUUGGGCUUAUAGAACAACGUAUAAAAAUCCUAUGGGUAUGUCUCCUUUUAAAAUGGUUUAUGGAAAAGCUUGUCAUUUGCCUCUUGAGUUAGAGCAUAAAGCAUAUGGGAAAUUAAAGAAAUCAACUAUGAUUUCAAACUCGCUAGUGAAAAGAGGUUAUUUGAUAUUAGCUCAUUAGAUGAAUGGAGAACCCAAGCUUAUGAAAAUGCAAAGUUAUUCAAAGAAAAAGUUGAAAGAUGGCAUGAUAAAAGAAUCCAAAAGCGUGAGUUUAAGGUUGGAGAAUAUGUUCUUUUAUACAACUCUCGUUUCAGAUUCUUUGCGGGAAAACUCCUCUCCAAAUGGGAAGGACCAUAUGUUAUCGAGGAGGUUUAUCGAUUUUGGAGCUAUCAAAAUAAAUAAUGCCGAAGGCACUAACCCAAAGGUUGUUAAUGGGCAACGAAUAAAACAUUAUAUCUCAGGUACGCCCAUUAAUGUUGAAAGCAAUAUUAUCCAAACUAUGACACCGGAAGAACACAUAAAUGAAACCUUCCAGAACACUCUAGAAUCGUUAAUAAGAGGAGGUACGUGAUACGGUAAGUAAAUGGACUCUAAAAAAUCUGCAAAAAUAUUUUUUUUCCAGUUUUGAAUAUUUAAAAAAUUAGUAAAAUAAGAAACUACCAGGAAGGUAACCCUGGUGGGCACAAGACAUCAGGGGGUGCCUGGCUUGCCAGGCAUACCCAGGUGGGUUAUGCCCCCCUCGGGUACCUUUCGGGCUCUAUUUUCUUCCAUUUGCUUGUUUCCAAGAUAAAAAAAUCUUUAUAUACUCCCCAAACCUGUUGACCUCCGUAUCGCGGAGAAAUCUCCUGUUUUCUUUUCUUGCUAUUUGUUGUCAGAUCUAAUCCACCAUGGCCACUUCAAGCUCCUCCUAGGACAAGUUCUUUGAGAACGUCGUCAACCCAUAUCUGUGGGAGGUGAUGCAAUACCCUCAAGCUAUCCAGAUGCGUGAUGGGGUGCUCCACAUCUGUGAUGUGCAAGGCCCCAAGGGGACUGUAUCCGUGGAGGCCAGGCUUGAAGCUAUGGUGCAGGAAGUCUUCCGGUGCAAGGGGAUGGUGGAACGUGGACUCAAUGCCAAUCACCUAAUGAUCACGGACUACACCUGUGAUCUCAAGGUGGAUGGAAAGUCCAUGAAGGACAUCGUCUUCUCCUUCAACAAGCAAAUCAACUUCCUCCAAAGCCAGAUCUACGACCUUCGAAACCAAAUCUUUGAAUAUGAAGCAAGGUUUAAAGGUAUGAGUUUGGCUGUCAGUUGCAGGACCUGAGAGACUCACUCUUCCUCUUAUGAUGGUGAGCCUCUACCGUGGAAACCCGAGGACAAGAUUGCUACCGCUGCAUCACCACCACAUCCUUCUUCAUCACCAAAAUAAAAUUGAGUAUCGGGUAUGGGCACUCCCCUUGGCUUUCGCCAAGCUUGGGGGAGGUGCCCCAGUAUUGUAUCACCUCCACUAUCUUUUUCCUUUAAUUUUCUUAGUUCGAUCCAUAGUUAUCUUUUGCUUUAGAUGAAUAAAAGUUUAGUUCGAUCCCUUCUUUUCGAGAGCUUUCUUAGUGAUCUAUCGUGGUAAUCGUAUGCGAGAUAUAUAAUAAAGUUUAGUUUGAGUUUUGUUUCUUCUACUUUCAUGUUCAAUAAAAAGAAAGGAAAUAAAUGAAAAAGAUCAUAUGCUAAUCUUAUGGUAAGUGAUGACAUUACACAAGGAAAAGUAUAAGUAGAAAAUUUUAUUAUAAAUUGACAAACAUAGCAAUGGUCAAUGAUGCAACUCAUGCAAGAAUUAAUAAGGGAAGAGAAGAUUCACAUGCAAAUACACUAUCCUGGAAAUCUUUUGUGAUUGUGAGCACCCAUCAAAAUAUUAUAUGCCAAAAAAUUUGACGUUGGACAAGGAAGACAACGUAAUGAUUUAUGUUUGUUUAUAUUCACAUAGAAGCUAUACUGUCAUAGAUCCUUCUACAUGUGGUGCUUGCCCCUAUCUUUGCUAGCCAAAAACUCCGCACUAAGUAGAGAUACUACUUGUGCAUCCAAAACCCUUAAACCCAAAUCUUGUUUUGAGAGUCCACCAUACCUACCUAUGGAUUGAGUAACAUCCUUCAAGUAAGUUAUCAUCGGUGCAAUAAGGCAAUAAAAGUUGCUUCUAGAAGUGUUAGAUCAUUUAGUGUAAGAGAAAGUUGAGCGUUGUACAAACUUGUGAUGGCGAAGAAUAAAAGCGACAGUUUGCAUAAUAAAGGUUUCCAUCAUAAGGGGCAAUAUAACAUGACACUCUCUUGCACGAAGGGGUUGAGCAUACAAACAAAAAGCACAUGGCAACCUCUGCUUCCUCUAUGAAGGGCCUAUCUUUUACUUUUAUGUAUUUACUUUCAUGCAAGAGUAAAAGUUCUUCUCUCUAUUCCUUUUUAUUUUCUCCUUUGGCAAGCAUCACGUGGUGAGGAAAGAUCUAGGCACAUAUAUCCACUUGAAUAUGGGUAGCAUGAGUUAUCAUUGUUGACAUCACCCUUGAGGUGAAUAUGUUGGGAGGCGAAACUAUAAGCCCCUAUCUUUCUAUGUGUUCAGUUGAAACGUUUUGCUCAUGUGUACGCGGUGAGUGUUAGCAAUCAUGGAAGACUAAAUGAUGGUUGAGUAUGUGGACUUGCCUAAAGGCUCCAAUACGUGACCCUUCCUGAAAAGAUGAUGAAUUGUAGUUGCAAAGUUGACUGAGAACAUAGUUUGUUGGUUUCCACUAGAGUUUAUACUUUACACUUCGAUGUUGUGAUGAAUCGUUACUUGUUUAUGAGAAGUCUAUGAUAAAAGUUCUAUAAUAAAAGUUUUAUGUUAAAGUUUGUUGCUGUUAUAAUAAAUUACAUGAUGCUUCUAUGCCUGUAUUUUGUUUUUUUAUCGAAACCUCUCUCUCUAAGCAUGUGGACAUGUUUUUCAAUUUCAAUUUUCGCUUGAGGGCAAGCGAGGUCUAAGCUUGGGGGAGUUGAUACGUCCAUUUUGCAUCAUGUUUACCUACUGUUAUUUAUGUUGUUUUAUUGCAUAAUAAUUCUUUUUGGAGUAAUUCUAAUGCCUUUUCUCUCAUAAUAUGCAAGGUACAUGCACAAGGGGAGAAUUCUGGUAGCUGGAAAUCUGGACCUGAGAAAGCUACGUCAGGCUACCUAUUCUGCACAAGUCCAAAUGAGCUGAAACUUAACGAGGAUUUUUUAUGGAAUAAAUGAGAAUUUUUGGAGUCAGUAAGUACCAAAGGGGGACCACCAGGUGGGAACAACCCACCUGGGCGCGCCAGGGAGCCCAGGCGCGCCCUGGUGGGUUGUGCUCAUCCAGGCCCACCUCCGGUGCCCCUCUUCUGGUACAUAAGUCAUUUUGACCUAGAAAAAAAUAAGGAGAGGACUUGCUGGAUGAAGCGCCGCCGUCUCGAGGCAAAACCUGGGCAGGAGCACUUUUGCCCUCCGGCAGAGCGAUUCAGCCGGGGGAACUUCUUGAGAGGAGUUGGUGUUGUUGAAGAUGUUGAUGGAGAUAGCCCUCCCCAAGAUGGGAGAGUUGUUGGUGAUAUGAAGAUGAUGAUUUCCCCCUCCAGGAGCCCAUCUUGGGGAGGGCUAUCUCCAUCAACAUCUUCCACAACACCAACUCCUCUCAAACCUUAGUUCAUCUCUUGUGUUCAAUCUUUGUAUCGGAACUAUAGAUUGGUGCUUGUGGGUGACUAGUAGUGUUAAUUACAUCUUGUAGUUGAUUACUAUAUGGUUUAUUUGGUGGAAGAUUAUAUGUGCAAAUCCAUUAUGCUAUUUAAUACCCCUAUGAUCUUGAGUAUGAUUAUCAUUUGUGAGUAGUUACUUUUGUUCUUGAGGUCACGGGAGAAAUCAUGUUGCAAGUAAUCAUGUGAACUUGAUAUGUGUGCGAUAUUUUGAUGAUAUGUAUGUUGUGAUUCCCUUAGUGGUGUCAUGUGAACGCCGACUACAUGACACUUCACCAUAUUUGAGCCUAAGGGAAUGCAUUGUGGAGUAGUUAUUACAUGAUGGGUUGCAAGAGUGACAGAAGCUUAAAUCUUAGUUUAUGCGCUAUUCCGUAAGGGACUGAUUGGAUCCAAAUGUUUAAUGCUAUGGUUAUAAUUUAUUCUUAAUACUUUUCUCGUAGUUGCAGAUGCUUGUGAGGGGGUUAAUCAUAAGUAGGAGGUUUGUUCAAGUAAGAACAACACCUAAGCACCGGUCCACCCACAUACCAAAUUAUCAAAGUAGCGAACACGAAUCAAACCAACAUGAUGAAAGUGACUACAUGAAAUUCCAGUGUACCCUCAAUAACACUUUGCUUAUCAUAAGAGACCGUUUUGGCAUGUCCUUUGCCUCAAAAGUAUUGGGCUAACUUGCUGCGCUUUUGUUACCAUUACCGUUACUUGCUUGUUACAAAUUACCUUGCUAUCAAACUACUCUGUUACUUACAAUUUCAGCACUUGCAGACAUUACCUUGCUGAAAACCACUUGUCAUUUCCUUCUGCUCCUCAUUGGGUUCAACACUCCUACUUAUCCAAAAGGGCUACAAUUGAUCCCAUAUACUUGUGGUUCAUCAGAAUAUGUACUCCUCCAAGCUUAGGCUUUUGGCCUAACUUGGUAAUCACCAAUCAUAGAAGCCAUGAGGUCCUAUGUUGAAGUGCUGGGGAGCGGGCACCUGAGGGUCCCACUGCUGAGGCUCCUCCUGUGCUGCAACCAGGUUGUUCCGGUAAGCAACAAUGUCCUCAGGCAUAAUCCUGUAUCCGGCCCGGCAAUAUGAUCAAACAAAGCAGGCGUAGGCAGUGGAAUAAUAUCAUGAGUUUUCUCACUGAAAACUAAGUUAUAAGGAAUAGGAAUACCAGGGUAACCAGCAGCAAUAAACUGGUGGUCUUCCAUAGCUGCUCGAUCUAGGCAAACCUUGGGCAAAGGAUGACCAUGCUGGCAUAUCUGAACGUUAAUGUGAGUUGCCAAGCGAGUAGCGUAAAUGCCCCCAUGUAUUUUACCCUUGGAUAUGUUAAUGUGAAGGCGACGUGCCACAAUAUCUCCCAAGCUAUAAGUGUUGUCAACAUAAAGUGCACGACGUAAAACAGCAAAGUCUGGAGCGCUAAGUGCACCUACCUUCUCUCUAGUAAGUAAGCACUUUGUAAUGAAUAGAGCAAAAUAAUGUACAUCGGGAAAAUGCAAGCUAGUAGCGGUGACACCUGAUACCCCUCUCUCAUCCCCCACUGUCAGAGUACAUACAAAUCCGUCAAACUCCGCGGGCCUAGGAUCUACCAAACCACCAUCAGAAGGGAGCACGCAUAUGUCACAAAAUUCAGUAAGUGAUAUUUGGUGGUUUUCAGCAUAUAAAUUAAACUGCACCUUAGGGGGAUUAUUCCAAGAAUGGAAACAAAAAAUUUGCACAAAAGAAUUUGUGAGGAGAUGAUACUGUUUGCAUUCAACUGCGAUGAAGUUGGUGAGGCCGGCAUUAGCAGCAUAUUGUGCAAACUCUUGAAGGAUUCCGGCCCCUUCCAUGAACGGGUUAUGCGGCCAUUCGCAUGACCGUAGCUCCACCAAUCUCCGGGUAUGGAGAUCACUGUCAGAUGACUCCCCAAUAAAUCCCUUGGAGCUCUUCUUGGAAGCAAACCUCCUAAAGAAACUCAUCCUUUUCCUAUGAACAAAAUUCUGAAAUUUUUAAUCCACAAAAAAUUUCUCAACAAAACUUCAUAAGAUUGUGAGCAACUACUCAUAGGGAUGUAUAGAGGCCAUAACAAGCAUACAAACUACUUAGACCUCUAAGAAUUCAACAUGCAAGCUCAUCUACAACAGCACCAAGAGUAGCUAAUUAUUCAAAAUAUAAACCACUAAAGCAAAAACUAAUUGGACACACGAAAGAGUCACAUACCAAGCAACAAUCCCCCGAAACAGUUUCAGAAACGGAGCUUCAAGCAAAGAGAUCAAAAUCCGCGGUUUCGGGAGCAAGAACACGAGAGAGAGAGCAAUGGUGAUUUUUUUCUGGAGGAAUGUGGUGACAUGGGAAGAAGAGAUAAGUGAGGGGGGCCACGUGGGGACCACAACCCACCAGGGCGCACCUAGGGGUCCUGGCGCGCCCAGGUGGGUGGUGCCCACCUAGUGCACCUCCCUCUGAUAUUAUUUUCACCAAAAAUUCUUAAAUAAUCAAAAAAAUCAUAUUAAAAUUUCAGAGCAUUCUGAGAACUUUUAUUUUUGGGUCAUUUUUUAUUGUACGAAAAACUGAGAAAACAGACAAAGCAUGGCAUUUUAUUUUAUUUAACUAAUAAAAACAGAAAACAAAAGGUAGGGACAAAAGGUAUUGCUCACUAAAUUCAUCAACUUCAUACCUCUCAAAAAUGAUCCAUUAAUAAGGUUGAUCAAGUCUUAUUAACAACCACUUUCGAUUAGCAUGAAACCGAAGAACUUUUAUGAACCACUAAGUUACCUCAACAGGGAUAUGGAUGUCCCCAACAAUAAGCAUUUAAUAUUUCUUUUUAAUGGUAGGUAUAGGUAGCUGGAAACUUCCAAUAGUGAUUGUCGGAGAUUUUUCAAUAACAUUAGUACCAUUCACUUGGAAUUGUUUCUUUGGAAAGUGCACCAUAUGCUCAUUACCAUUGAUAUGAAAAGUGAUCUUGCUUUUAUUGCAAUCAAUAACAGCUCCCGGAGUAUUCAAAAAGGGUCUAACAAGGAUAAUCGACAUGUUUUCGUCCUCGGGCAUCUCAAGUAUAACAAAGUCAGUCAGAAUAGUAACAUUAGCAACAACAACGGGCACAUCCUCACAAAUACCGAUAGGUAUGGCAAUUUAUUUGUGAGCCAUUUGCAAAGAUAUUUCAGUAGGUGUGAGUUUAUUCAAAUCAAGUCUUUUAUAUAAAGAGAAAGGCAUAACACUAACACCAGCUCCCAAAUCACAUAAAGCAGUUUUCACAUAGUUUCUUUUAAUGGAGCAAGGUAUAGUUGGUAUUCUCGGGUCUCCAAGUUUUUUAGGUACUCCAUCUUUAAAAGUAUAGUUAGCAAACAUAGUGGAUAUUUCACCUUCUGGUAUUUUUCUCUUAUUGGUGAUGAUGUCUUUCAUGUACUUUGCAUAAGGAGGCAUUUUUAGAUAUUAGUCAAGCGAGUACACAAAAAGACUGGCCUCAGCAUUUCAGCACAGCGAGCAAAUUCUUCAUCAUCUUUCUUUUUAGCUAACUUGGGUGGAAAAGGCAUGGGUUUUUGAACCCAUGGUUCUCUUUCCUUACCGUGUUUUCUAGCAACAAAGUCUCUUUUAUCAUAUCUUCUAUUCUUGGGUUGUGGGUUGUCAAAAUCAACAACUGGUUCUAUCUCAACACCAUUGUCUGGUUCUUUAUUAUUUGUUUGAGUUUCUUCAUGAACCUCAUCAUUAUCUUUUUCAUUAUCACAAGGUGAGUGUUCACUACCAGAUUGAGUUUCAACAUUAGAGAUAGAAACUUCAUUAUCAUUAUCAGGUGGUUUUUCUACUUCAGGUUCACUAGAGGCAUGCAAAGUCCUAUUAUUUUUCUUCUUAUUUUUCUUUUUAGAAGGAUUAGGUGCAUCCGUGUUAAUCCUUAGAGAGUCUUGUUCAAUUCUUUUUGGGUGUCCCUCAGGAUAAAGUGGUUCAUGAGUCAUUUUACCUCCUCUAGUUGCUACUAUAACAACAAAAGUCACUUAUAUUGUUGUUCAUUUCAUCAAGCAACUCUCUUUGAGAUUUAGCAACUUGUUCUAAUUGAGUUUGAACCAUAGAAGCAUGCUUUCCUACACCUCUAACAUCAUUUGAGAUUCUAAAUAACAAGUCACUUAAGCGAGCAAUCAUAUCAGAGUUGUAUUUCAAUUGUUUUAUAACAUUUGCAUUGAAGUGAUCUUCCUUUCUAAUGUAAUUAUCAAACUCAUAAAGGCAUUGACUAGGAUGUUUAUUAUGAGGAUUAUCACUAUCAUUGAACUUCAUUAAAUAAUUUACCUCUACCACCUUAGGUGGUGGUGGUCUAUCAACCCCAUGUAUUUCUUCAAUAGGUGGUAAAUUUUUAACAUCCUCUGCUUUAAUACCUUUUUCCUUCAUAGAUUUCUUUGCCUCUUGCAUAUCUUCAGGACUGAAAUAUAAAAUACCCCUCUUCUUUGGAGUAGGUCUAAGCGGUGUUUCAGGAGGAGUCCAAUCAUCAUAAUUUUUCCAUAUGUUAUUCAAUAAUUCUUCAUCUUGCUCAAUAGUUCGUUCCCAGAAAACAGAACCAGCACAACUAUCUAGGAAAUCCCUAGAAGCAUCGGUUAGUCCAUUAUAGAAGAUAUCAAGUAUUUAAUUUUUCUUAAGAGGAUGAUCAGGCAAAGCAUUAAGCAAUUGGAGAAGCCUCCCCCAAGCUUGUGGGAUACUCUCUUCUUCAAUUUACACAAAGUUAAAUAUUUCCUGCAAGAUAGCUUGUUUCUUAUG
This 73042-nucleotide long non-coding RNA is filed under the name Triticum aestivum (bread wheat). RNAcentral's name for it is "long non-coding RNA (TAES_LNC016605)". Lineage: Eukaryota; Viridiplantae; Streptophyta; Magnoliopsida; Poales; Poaceae. The record is from RNAcentral.